RNAcentral lists this long non-coding RNA (80679 nucleotides) under Coffea arabica (coffee). RNAcentral's name for it is "long non-coding RNA (CARA_LNC004157)". The stretch from base 42202 to 42308 matches the Rfam family "Plant small nucleolar RNA R71". Lineage: Eukaryota; Viridiplantae; Streptophyta; Magnoliopsida; Gentianales; Rubiaceae. The record is from RNAcentral.
AACAUUCCUAAAGCAGAUCCCAAUCUAUCAGAGGCCUUGAGCUCCCCAGAAAAUUUUUAUGCUCUCUAUUUGGAAAGCCAUAGAUCCUAUGUCAAAACAGCAAUAAUUGAUCAAGUACUAGUAUCAGAAUCCAUCACUUCUCUUGCCGGGAUAGUUGUUGAUCUAUUCUGUAGUUCGAUGGUUGAUGUAGCGAAUGAGCUUGGCGUUCCUUCAUAUGUGUUCUUCACCUCUGGCUCUGCCUAUCUUGGUUUCGUGUUUUAUCUUCCAAUUCACAACAAAAAUGGAAGAGAGUUCGAGACUUCAGACCCUGAUUCAAUUAUUCCAACAUAUUCUCACCCUGUACCUUCAAAUGUUAUACCUUCUUAUGCAUUUAACAAGCAUGGUGGUUAUUCCUCAUUCGUAAAACAUGCUACCAAGUUCAAGGAGACAAAAGGAAUCAUCAUAAAUACGUUUGCAGAAUUAGAAUCUCAUGCUGUGGAUCGAUUGAAAUUCGAUGCUGAAACACCGCCAAUCUACACAGUUGGACCCCUGCUCGACCUGGAGGGCAGAAAGCAAGAGCCUGAUCACUAAAAAAUAAUGAAAUGGUUAGAUGAUCAGCCUCCAUCAUCAGUUGUAUUUCUCUGUUUUGGAAGCAUGGGUAGUUUUGAGCCUGACCAGUUAGCAGAGAUGGCACUUGCACUCGAGUGGAGUGGAUACAGAGUCUUGUGGUCAGUCCGGUUAUCAAAGGCCUAUACAAAAGGGACAGGUGAGCAUUCCAAUAUUUCUGAAAUGUUGCCACAAGGCUUCUUAGAGCGCGUCCAAAAUCGAGGAUUGGUGAGUAGUUGGGCACCACAAAUGGAGGUGCUGGCUCAUGAAGCAGUUGGGGGAUUUGUAUCUCAUUGUGGCUGGAACUCUAUACUAGAAAGCCUGUGGCAUGGGGUGCCUGUUGCAACAUGGCCUGUAUAUGCUGAGCAACAAAUCAAUGCGUUCGAGUUGGUAAGAGAGUUGGAACUGGCUAUGGACUUGAAAAUGGAUUGUCGAAUGGAAAAUGCAAAGAAUCUUGUAGUGGCUGAGGAAAUCGAGAAAGCUAUCAGAUGCUUGAUGGACACAGAGAAUCCAACAAGAAAAAGAGUUCUAGAAAUGAAGGAGAUAAGCAGAAAGGCCAUUGAAAAAUUUCAUUUUCCAAAACACUAAUCUCUUUCGCCUUUAAAUUUCAAUCAAUUGCAUCUUUUAAAAUCCUAAUUUUACUCUUUUUGCCUCUGAGUCUCAUCACUUGCAUUUAUUGACCUCUUCGAGGAGUCAAUUUUGGCCGUCACAAUCAAUGUGCUCGGUGCCAAUCAAACCUCAAAGAGAUAUUUUGCCCCACUCGAUUCACCACUAGGUUUAGGUUUUGCAUCCAUAUAGUGACAUCUAAAUGUGAUAAAUUUUUAGGUUAAAAUAAGAAAAUCUUUUGACUAAAUCACGCAACUAGCUCUAGGCUAGGUUGAAAGGGUGCCUUGGAUUUUAUCUUUGCCUUUCCUUUCUUCAAACGUGACUCCUGAACACUUUUCUCUGAUUUUCGAAAACUUGGAGUCGUUUAAAAAGGGUUUUUUCUACUUUUUCUUUAAAAAUUUAUUUUAGGUGACUUGGUACACCUUAACUCAAUAACAAGUGGCGACUCCUAUUUUAUUAAAAAUUCUUUUUAAACUAUUAUUUUGGGUCAAAACCGUCACACUUUUAAAGUCCCAUUUAGACCCGUUUUCUUUAUUUAUUUUCUAAAAAAAUGAAAAACUCAUUUUCACUUAAAACUAAUAAAAAUUCAUUUUUUACAAACCCGUAAUUUUAUUAUUUCUUUAAAAAAAUGGGGCGCGACAGAAAGGUUAGAGGAAUAGUGGGUGUUGAGAAAGAAAAAAAGGAAUGAGUUGAGGAGUACAGUGGAGGGAGGCGAUUUGGGUAGGGGGCGAGGGGAAAAGAGUAGAGCGAAGGGAAAGAGAGAGGUGGAGGCAUGGUGGGAAGGAAAGAAGAAAGGAGAAAGUGAGAAGAAAAAAGUAGAGUAUUCUUUUCAAGUGGAGGGCACAGGUAAUGUAGAGGAAUGUUAGUGUAUUCUUUUCAAGUGUUUUUAGUUCUGAAUAAGUUCUUUGUGGCAUUUUUUAAGAUAUUACUAUGGCUUUUGUUUUUUAAAAAACGUGUUACUGUAAAUAUGAUGUAAAAAUUAGGAGUCGUUCAGAAAUCUUACUUCCCACUAUAGAUAGUACAGGUUGCCUGAGAAGACAAUGAUUUUCUGUUCAAAAAGCUAUUAUUGCUGAGAGACAGGUAUUGGAGUUUCUAUAAGGAACCAAAUUAACCAGGAGGGAAGUUGUCCACCAAAAUAUUGAACCAAGAUUAAGGUAUCUCAAUCUGCGCAAGUGAGCCAACUCGCGAGGCAGUUCUUCAAGGAAAUUGUUUCUGCUAAUGUCAAGGGAAAUGAGAAAGGACAGAUUCCCAAGUUGAGGAGGUAUGGUACCACCAGAAAAGUUCAUGUUUGAAAUAUGCAAGGCAGUCACUCGACCUGUCGAGAACUGCAAGGGACAAAUGGAGGAAGUAAUUGACCAAUUUUUUGCCAAGAAAUCUUGAGGUUCUAAAGUGAUCAUGUCACUGAUUGAUCCAUAGUAAUAUCACUGUUGCUAGCUGCCAUGCUAGCUAACCUAAAGAUACGCAAGAAGAAGUAGUAGAUUUUGUCCUUGGCCAUGCUCAUGGUUCAAUUUCAGAUUUCCACAAACACCAGGGCACUCACUAAUUAAGAAUUGGGAUGAACUGCAAAACGAUAUAUACAGAUAGAAACGAGCAUGGAAGUCCACUAAUAACACAUUCCAGGAAUAAUAAAACCAUAUCAAUGGAGAAAGGCCGUAACAUUGAUUUAUUUUCCAAGUAGGUACCAAACAUGGACUAUCAAAUCAUGGACAAAAUGGAGCUUGCGACAUUGGUCGAGAAGAGGCUGCCAUUAACUAGUCUUGGUUUAUUCCUUCAUUGACUUUAAUUCCAGUUUCCAUUAGUAUAUAUGUGGAUGGAGAAGAAACAAACCCAAAUCUGAACUUGUCCCCAUUUGAAGUCUCCUUUGAAAGUGAAUGGUAUGCUUUUGCCAUUCCAAUUUUAUGGCAGGGAAUUGUUAAUUUUCUGCUUUUUGUCACUAGAUUGUUUAAACUAAAAGGUAGCUAAGAACUCAGUCAGAAUUAAAAAAAGGAAAAAGAAAAGCAAAAUAAAGCCCCUUAUGCAAUGUUCCCUAUAACUGAAAGUCCAAAUGCGAUGUAGAUGACACCUCUAGAUCUCUCUCUCGGAAUAAUGUACAUCUCUCUCUGACCUUCAAAAUAAAUCAAGCUUACAAAUUAUACUGAAGCAUCUAUUUGCAUUGGCCAAAAGCAUUGUUUCUGAUAUGAUCAAGACCUGACAGUAUGCUGCAAAAAAAUAGCAGGUUAUAAGCUCAAUUGAAUGAGGACACAUAACUUUCAUCAUUGAGAAGUAAAAUUUGCACAAAAAGGAUAAAUACUUACUGUCAUCAGAAAUUGAAAUUGAUGCUUGAUCUUUAUUAGUUCUGCUAAAACAUCUUUCAUACUGAUCCUUUCUCUUGGACAUUCUGUACAGCAGUUCAAAGCCAAUUUCAUAAUCAAUGUAACACACUUCAGCUUGUCAGUGAAAUGCUCAUCCUCUGGCCUAAUUAAGUUUGCAUCAACGACCUGAAGUGCAUCAGGAAGAGAAUCUUCUACCCAACUUUUAAGGCUUAAAUCUCCUGAAAACGUUUCAUCACCAGGCCUUAUCCUUGAAAAAAUUUCCAUCAAAACUAUUCCAAAACUGUAUACAUCAAUUCUUGUUGAAACUAUCCCCUCCGAUCCAUACUCUGUCAUAAGAUUACAAUAGUCAGGAUAAUAGAAUUAGUUAACAGAUUAACAACAGAUGAACAACAUCGUAGAAGUACAAAAAAUGUAGACAGCAAAAGUUAAAUGCUUAACCUGGUGCAAUGUAUCCCAGUGUUGCAAGGGUAUUGGUAUGCAAAAUACUUUCUCCUUGGCCAAACAUUUUUGCUAUACCAAAGUCACUUACAUGGGCAGCCAUAUCUUCAUCAAGCAAGAUAUUACUGGGCUUCAAGUCACAAUGUACCACAGGAGCAUCAUAACCAUAAUGGAGAUAUUCCAAUGCACAAGCAACGUCAAUCAUUAUGUUUAUUCUUUGGAACAUAUCUAAAAAAUGGUUGUGAGAGUACAACCACUUCUCAAGAUUCCCAUUGGGCAUGUAUUUGAGUACCAAGGCUUUAAAAUUAAGGUUACAGCAGCUGCCGAGCACUUUUAUAAGAUUUCGAUGGCGUAAACUCUUUAGAACCUCGCAUUCUUUAUCAAAACUUUUUAAUGAACCUUCCACUAGCAAGUUGAAUACCUUGAUAGCCACAAUAGUGCCAUCACUUAGGAUCCCUUUGUAAACAGAACCAUAGCUCCCUUCUCCAAGCAAAUUGCUUUCAUUGUAGUUAUCGGUUGAGUGCAAAAGGUCAUAGUAUGAAAAUCUUUCAUAUUUUGCCGCUGACAUCAACUCUAUUCCACUAGAACUCUUUGGUUUCUUUAGCCACCUUAGAUUCAAUAAUGCUCCAAUUGCUAUUAUCAGUAUUGCUGCCAUCCCUGACAGACUAAUGACAAGUAGAAGCACCUUUCUUUUGCUCGAUCUUCUAAUUGAAUUACUCUGACAUAGUGGAACACUAAGCCUUGGGUCACCACAGAGUCCUUCAUUGUUCAUGAACAAUUGACCUGUAAAGUUUCUGAAGGGACCAUCUCGAGGAAUUUCGCCACUUAAUCUAUUAAAAGAAACAUUGCAUUCCUUGAGAGAUUUGAGUGCCUCCAUUGACUUGGGUAUUACACCAGAGAGAUUAUUGUGUGAAAGGUCCAAGAAUUCCAAGCUGACUAUAUAGCUAAAUGAUUCUGGUAUAGAACCCUGCAAAUUAUUUUUCGCCAAUGAAAGGCUCUGUAAAGCUUGCAGCUCUCCAAUGGUUGUAGGGAUUUUGUCUGAUAAUUGAUUGAACGAGAUAUCUAAACUAUAUGCUGCUUUGAGGUUCCCGAUCUCCAAAGGUAGCGAUCCACUUAAGAAAUUUGAUGAAAGGUUGAGAAUUUGGAGAUCUUUCAUGCUCAAUAGGUUAGCAGGUAUCAUGGAAGUCAACCUGUUGGAGUCUAGAAAAAUCUGUCUCAAAUUUGUCAUAUUUCCUAAGCAUUCUGGAAUACUACCAAAGAAUUGAUUUUGGCUCAAGUCUAACAACCCCAAACUUUGUAAUCCACAAAAAAUGUCCAAGACAUCUCUUAUUUGAUUGGAGUCCAAGUACAGCACCUGAAGAUUUGCCAAACUAUGUAUAGUUCUUGGGACAGAUCCAAUCAAUUCAUUACCUGAAAAUUCUAGUUCCACCAAACCGCUCAAAUUGCUGAUUCCAUCUGGGAUGUUUCCCUUGAUUCUACAACUUUUUGCAGUUAUGACUUCAAGUGAAGUCGAAUAGUUAGAAAAGGAAGCUGGCAGAAAACCAUUUAGAGGAUUAUUAUCCAACACUAAAUAUGUCAAAGAUCUGCAACUCGUCAAGAAAGUGAAAAAGCUCAAUUCUGAGGAUUCACUUGAUAGCCUGUUGUAAUCCAGGUAUAGAUAUUUUAGAUUUCUUAAACUUGCUAAAGAGGUGGGGAUUGAACCUGUGAGCUCAUUAUUGUAAAGCACCAAAAAAACUAGCUUAGUAGCAUUUGAGAUGGUGCUAGGUAUACCUCCGCUCAAGUAAUUCUGAUCAAGAAAAAGAGACUCCAAAUUGCUUAGCUUAUUAUUACUCACUGUGAAAGGAAUAGUUCCUGAGAAUUUAUUCUGGUCAAGUCCAAUAUGUUGGAGAGAUGAAAUGUUGAAAAUUGCAGCUGGUAUGGAACCCGAUAAUGCAUUGUUGUAUAAAUAAAGCUCCUCCAAUCUGUGAAGGUUCCCAAUCUUUUCGGGUAUUCCACCUGUAAUACGGUAAUUGAAGUGCUUUUGCAUUAGCAUACAAUCGGCAACUUUCCAUUGGCAAUGUCUAGCAAGGUUCUAAAUUUUUUUUUAAAAAAAAAAUCUUUUAGAAUAAUAGAAAGUUAUCGGUCUUCCCAGAUCCUUCUAGCAAGGCUUUAAAACUAACCUCUUUGAACAUAAAAUCCAUUAAAAGGAAAAGUUAAUUUCAUUCAACCGAACAUAGGCGCAAGUUAUCCUAUAGAUCAAACUGAUGUGGAGUUUUAAAGAUGAUCUACGCAAUUAAGACCUUGUCAUUAGGAAAGAAGACAUACCUGUCAAUUUGUUGUUGCUAAAAUCUAAAUCCAUCAACAUAGCUAAAUUCCCUAUUUCAGCUGGAAUUACACCUGCAAAAUUGCAACUUGUAUGAGUUUGAUUUGACUUGAAAUGAAAAAACGUAGUAACAAAUAAUGAUGAGAUUUUUGAACUUUCCAAAUGCAUUAAUUGGAAAUAGUCGUGAUCCUUUCAUGCUAUAGAUCCAAUUGCAUGCUGAGUUUUGCUUAUGGUUUAAGCAAUUAAGAACUUGUAAUUAGGAACUUAAGCAUACCAGUCAAUUUGUUGUCUCUAAAUUCUAAAGCCGUCAACAUAGCUAAAUUCCCUAUUUCAGUUGGAAUUGCACCUGCAAAAUUGCAGCUUUUAUGAGUUUGAAUUGACUUGUAAUGAAGAAACAUAGUAACAACCAAUGAUGAGAUUUUUGAACUUUCCAAAUGCAUUAAUUGGAAAUAGUCGUGAUCCUUUCAUGCUAUAGAUCCAAUCCUAAGAACUUGUCAUUAGGAACGAAGACAUACCUGUCAAUUUGUUGUCAUAAAAAUAUAAAAUCGUCAACAUAGUUAGAUUCCCUAUUUCAUUUGGAAUUGCACCUACAAAAUUGCAACUUUUAUGAGUUUGAUUUGACUUGUAAUGAAGAAAUGUAGUAACAAAUAAUGAUGAGAUUUUGGAACUUUCCAAAUGCAUUAAUUGGAAAUAGUCGUGACCCUUUCAUGCUAUAGAUCCAAUUGCAUGCCGAGCUUUGCCUAUGGUUUAAGCAAUCAAGACCUUGUCAUUAGGAGCGAAGACAUACCUGUCAAUCAAUUUGUUGUCACCAAAACUUAAAAUCGUCAACAUAGUUAGAUUCCCUAUUUCAUUUGGGAUUGCACCUGCAAAAUUGCAACUUUUAUGAGUUUGAUUUGACUUGUAACAAAAAAAAAUGUAGUAACAAACAAUGAUGAGAUUUUUUAACUUUCUAAAUGCAUUAAUUGGAAAUAGUCGCAUGGUUACUCAUUGCAGUAACCAUGUGGCAUCUGUGGGAGGAAAGAAAAUAGGAUAGUUUUUCUGCUUGCUAAGACAAAUACUAGUAAAGUUUUAUCAGACAUUGCCAAGGUUAUUCAACUAUCUAUCGAAAAAAAAAAAGUGAUACUAUUAGUAAUAUCAGGGGAACAGUCAAUGUUAAGAGUUAAGACCCAUGCGAUAAGAGUGUUUAUGUUAUAAAUCUAUUUGACAAACCUUAGGGUUUGAUAUGUAGGACCUUUUAGUAAUAUUGACAAACCUUAGGAUCGGAUAUGUAAUUUGACCAAACCUCAAAAUAACCAGAACUCCUGGGCGCUAACGAUUAUACACUACACACAACUCUAAACCAAGACACCAAUUUAAAACUCAUAAGGUUACCUCACAUUUCUACUAAACACUUGCCGUCCAUUUAUACAUGCAAUAAGUUACCAAUGAAGGCGGUGCUGAUUUCCUUCGGGAAGUCUAGAUAUGCAACUUGCAUAUAGACAAAUCUAGGAAUGCUGCUAGACUAACAGAGAGAGAGAGGCUGUGCUUUCUCAUCACUGUCUAUCAAAACCGCCAAAAAAAAAUGUUCUGUUUCUCUGAAACCUCCAUAUAGAAAAACAAAAGCAUAAGCUUAUUAGAUAUCUAUAAAGCAUAUACAAGAACAGAAGCAUAAGCUUAAUCUAUACUUAAAAAAUAGGAAUAAAAGCAGUCACUAAUACAUUUUACCUGUUAAAUUGUUGCUCUCCAGGUAUAGUUCCUCCAGCAUUGUCAAGUUCGCAAUUCCCAUGGGUAUCGGUCCACUUAAACGGUUCUCAGACAAGGCAAGAUACCGAAGCAGUGAACACUGAGACACUGUUGACGGUAUUCGACCAAUCAAAUUGUUAUAUUGUAGACUAAGCCAUGUAAGUUUCUGAAGGCGCUGACAGACGUCGUCCGGAAGAAUGCCUGAUAGGCUGUUAUGCAUGAAGGAAAUUAUUUCCAGUGAGGAAAGAUUGAAAACAUGGAGAGGCAAAGGACCAGAAAGCUGGUUAUACUCAAUAAGCAAAUUCUUCAAAUUAUGAAGAUUCUGAAAUUCUAUUGGAACGGUCCCCUCAAUGAAAUUGAAAGACAGCAGUAGCGUCUCCAAGUUUGACAUGUUAGAGAUGGAAGGCGGGAUGGAACCCAUAAAGCUAUUGUUCCAAGAGACAGGAAUUGGAGUUUGUAUAUAAAACCAAACCAGGAGGGAAGCUCUCCACCUAGAUUGUUGAUCCCAAAAUCAAGGUAUCUCAAUCUGCGCAAGUGAACUAACUCACCGGGCAAUUCUCCAUGGAAAUUGUUCCUGCUAAUGUUAAGGGAAACCAGAAAGGACAGGUUCCCAAGUUGAGGAGGUAAGGUACCAGUAAGGUUCAUAUUUGAGAUAUUCAAGACAGUCACUCGGUGGUGUCGAGAGCCGAAGGUGACCCCUAUCCAAUCACAAACAGAGGAGGUAAUGGACCAGUUUUUUGCCAAGAUUUCUCGAGGCUCUGAAUUGAUCCUGCGAUCUCUUAGCGCAAGAAGGGCUAAUUGAUCCGUUGUAACAUUACUGUUGCCGGCAGCCAUCAUGGCUAACGAAACUAAGCUAAAAUUUAUCAAGAAAAGGUAGUGAUCUAUUUUGCCCAUGGCCUUGCUCAUUGAUCAAGUUGAGAUUUUUUUGACCGUAACUCACAUGAAUUGGUGUCAGCAGCAAAAUCAUAUAUAUAUAUAUAUAUAUAUAUAUAUAUAUAUAUAUAUAUAUAUAUAUAUAUAUAUAUAUAUAUAUAUAUAAGACGAGCGUGGAAGUCUUCAUGACACAAAAACACACACAUGGAGAUGGAGAUCAGCAAUUAAUGUGGUGGUCUCUGGCUAUGAUAACAUCAAUAGCAGAAAAAUACCCACCAGUUAAUAUUAAUGUUGAUUUUCCUACUUAUUACAUAUCAAAUUAUGGCAGACCGGUCUAGAGGGGUUCGGGAGAGAAGACAUUAAGUUUUUGGUGGAAAGUAGUUGUAGCAUUUGUGUUCAUGAGCUUUCUUUUCCUGCUGGAUUCCCUUUUGUUUUCUCUUUUGGACUCAAUAAUCAAGAAUCAUUCGGCCCCUCACAGAUCAACAGGGCAAGAGGUAUGGUUUAGGGUACUGCCAUCAGUUUGGCUUUGCAUCCAUGCUUUCCCAAUUAGCUCUAAAGCCUAAAUUUAGUUAAUUAAUAUGCUCUGCUUUUCUUUGACAUGCAUGUAAGAUUCAAAAAAAAUAUGAUUUAUUUAAUUUUGACAGGAACUUAGUAGCACAAAUUGAAAUGAAAAGAAUGAAUGCAAAAGUAGAUCAAAUGUGCAUUUAGACUACCUUAAUAUGAUAUGAUGCCUCAUUGCCAAGUGCCAAUUGAAUUUGUAGAUGAUAUUUCUGGAAUUCAGUUUAUUUUUUAACAAUUCAAAAGCUCAGUCCAAUUUCAUAAUUUUCAAGACCACAAGUCCUAUUAAUUUUCUUUUGGAAGGUACUUAUGAGCAAUUGGUGUAUACUAGUAAAACACGUAGCUCUCCUUUAUAUGUUAGGAAUUGAUGGUUUCCAGCUAGCUCAUACGGUCAUUGACUUUAGUUUCACUUCUGAAAGGGAAUAAUUUGUUAUACUUCAUCCAGAGAUUAGAAGCAAUUCUGGUUGAUCAGCUUACAUCUGUUAUGAAUACAAAAUUGAUGCUACUAUAUUUCCACCAUUGAGCUGAGUCUCACAUGAAAUUUAACAGAACAUAAGUAGCGCUAGACCGAUCCAUGAGGAUUUGAUGAUAGCAAAGUUCCAGAGAGGAUUAUACAUGAAUUAAUUUAUAUGUUAAAAAACUGUUUCUGUAUGUCAAACCUAAAUUAGAAGAGUAUCUAAAGUUAAGUUACAACAAUAUUUUUGUCCGUUUUAUAGAACAGGAGUUGUUUCUGUAAACGUGAGUCACUUUCCUGACAAUUUUGCAGACGUUCAUUCUUUUGCAGAAAAAUAAGCUGAUGUAUGUGUCUGCAAAUUGAAAAUUAAGCAACAUGGGGAAACUAUAUGUAACCUCUGCAUGAUGAUAAUAUUGAAGGCUGUUCAGUCAUACUUAGUUUAUUUACUGUGCUUAUUCUAAUAAACAUAGUAGGUGGAUGAGCUUUGUUUAUUUAGGAAUUAUUUGUUCCAAAGUAUCAGUUGUGAAGCAAUUCAUCACUAUCAGGAGUUGUUAUGAGCAGUAUUACAGAUGAAGUAGGUCAUAUAUCACUGCAGGAGAAAAUCACUGGCAUGUUGGAGGAAAAGAGUUCAACAAACAUGUAUGAUCGCCUUCUAAAACUGGCGGCCAGUUCUGUUAAUGAGGUUAGAACUAUUAUCAUUGCUUUCAUAUAGUAGAAUAUUUUCUUAAUCUCAAUUAUGGUGCAUGGCAGGAGUGUCUACUAUCUUAGCCGUAGAUUUUGUAAGUGCUCUGAGCUUCUGCAGUAAAUGGCAGCUACUCAAUUACUAGAACUAGGAAAGAUAAGGCCAAAUCAUCUGGUUGCAUCAUCAGAAUGUGUUUGAUUGCAUAAGCAUUGGUCUUGCAAGUGACUUGCCUAUCAGAUAAUUGAUAAUAUUAGGAGUUCACAGAAUAAUAUACUGAAAUAGUUUGCUCUUUUGUUGUCUGUUCCAUGGCUAGUUUGGGAUAUCAGCUGAUCUUGUACUUUUCAUUGGGUAGUUGUGGAAAACACGAGCAUGCUGAGAAAAGAUUUUAUUUAUUGUUGUUUCUGCACUCCCUUUUACCAAUUUAAUGUUUCAGAAAGAGUUGAAGAGAGGUGAAUCAAAAUUUUGGGAAGAAUCAAACCCUCAGGCAUCAAUGUGGAAGCCUUGUGCCGACAAGAAGAGUACCCAAGGUAUAAUUUAGAUUCAUUGAAUGAUGUCUAUGCACAAAUCAAAUUGUAAUUUGCUUCUUACAACAGUUAUGUCUCUGACAGUAGGUGGUUUGCUGUCUGAACUGUGGUGUAAUUGUUUAAAGUUGUCGGGGCAGGGAAAUCCAGGAACAGUUACAUUGUGGCCAAUGGAGGCCUAAAUCAGCAGCGAGUUGCUGUAAGCAUGUAGAAUUUAGUCCUCCUCCUUUUUGGUAUUUUUGGUUGUUGUAGGGUCAAGUUUCAUCUUACUUCCUGCAUCUUCUUCAUGUUUUUUUCUUUACUCUCUGAUUCUAUCUCUCUUAUUAAUUGCCACUGAAUGCUUCGUUCCAAUUUUUCAGGUCUGCAAUGCUGUUGCAGUUCCAUCCCUGCUAAAUGCAACUUUAGUCAUUCCCAAAUUUCUUUAUAGCAAUGUAUGGAAUGAUCCCAGGUCAGAAGUACAUUUAACUGUGUGUUGAGUCUAGAUUGGUUAAAUAUAUUGCUCCUAGGUCUUCCUCCUUCCAAUUUGGCCUCUUACUAUGUUGAUGCAUGCUUAUUGAGAGGAGAAUGAUGACUUAUCCGGCAUUAGAAGUCUCAAAACGAAAUUUGUUUUCUGAUUUGUUUCUCAAUUAUGUUUUUCCCUUCAUAACUGGUUCCUUUCUAUCCCUUUCCAUAAAAAGAUGUUGGAGAUUUCUUUCCGGGAGAAAAUUUUUUCAUGCAUUUACCUUUCAACAAAAGAAACAUGUUCUUGAGUUACUUUGAGGUAUUAUUGUUGAUGCAGUAUUAGAAACUAGUCAAUUUUUUUGACAGCCAAAAGAAAAGAUUAGAAAUAUAAAUUUCUUUUCAUCUGAUUCCUUCACUUGGAUUUACAAUUUCAGCUUUUCAAGGUACUUCUUGGCUAAUGGCAUUAUUUGAUGGUUCAAGGUGAUUUAUGAUAUCAGCCUUUUUAAGUUCUCCUUGGCUAAUGGCCUUAUUUGAUUAUCGUGGUUAUGUAAUUUGUAUUACAGUUAAUGAUACGAAUCUACAAAAUUGUAUCCAGUUUCUAAGUUUUUUCAGUUCUUAUUGUCACUUGAUCAUCAAUCAACAGAUGAAGGGAAGUUUCUUCAACUUCCUUUUUUUAUUUUUGCUUUAUUGGUUUAAUAUUAGUUCUUUCUCAAUCCAUCUAAUUGGGACCACGGGCAGGAACGGUUGCACCUCGGUUUUGUGCAUUUUGCACAUCGCGUAAUUUUAUUUGCACACGGCGUAAUUUUGUUUGCACAACGUGUAACUUUAAAAUAAAUUUUUGUGGGCCCCACACACGGUGUUAAAAACGAGGUACAAGAAGUGAUCUGAAUCAUACAAUUUUUUUGGGCCAAAUCUUGACUGUGAACAGCUCAGGAGCGGUCCUUCCCCUCAUCCAUCUAGUUGUUACAUUUGUGUGGUAAACACAAAUUAGUAUUGUUUUUCUUCCUUUAUGUGGUCAUACUUAUGCUUUCAAAUCUAUUCUUGCUUUUGUAAAACUUUCCAGUUAAAUACUUUUCAUUUUUCAUUUUUCCGCUAAAUAUUAUAAACUUGGUGGUUCAUAUGUUUCUUCUAAGAUUUGUUAGUAAAAUUUUCUCCAUAAUUAUCUUUUUGAUUUCAUAUGGUGAUCAUUAAGCUGUUACUCUCAAUUGGAACAAAAAUUGAAAUUGUCCCGAAGCUUGUAGUUCACUUUUAUACAUCUUAUGUUUGCUACUUAUUUCGUAUAUAUAAAAUCAAUACCAUACACUUGUUAUACAUCUUAAGUUUGAUUUCCUAUCAACCCGGUUUCAAACCUCUCGUGGAACAUUCAUUGUCAUAUAAGAUUUGUCUAAUGCAUCUUACCCCUUUGUGUGGUUGAUAGGUUAUUAUAUGGGAUGAAAUUUAUUUGAUGCGUACUCUGAAAUAGUGAUUGCGGUUGCCAAAAAAAAAAAAAAUCUACGCUGGACCUCACACAUCAAAGUUCUAAAAAAUUGGCCUGGGUCAUGGUCAAGAGCUUUCCCAAGUUGCGCCUUCUUCCCAGUUCCCAGAGUCGUGUCAAAAAAAAAAAAAAAAUGAGAGUCGUGUCAAGUUUUUUUUCUUUUACUUUUUGAUACGAGUCAUGUCGCGAUUGAAGGUUCUUCAAUGAAUUAAUUAUUGAAUCUAAUAUGACUAGAUCUAAGUUUGGUCGCCAGUCAGGCCUCGUAAGGAUUGACUCGGACACUCUGUAUUGACAAAAAAACAAAAAGUUUGGUCUCCAGUCACCGGCAAUGUCCAAUAAUAAAAAAUGAAACACAUGUAAGAUGCAAGAUGACUUUCUUUCCCUGAAGGCUUUGUUUUGAUUGAGAAAUUUGAGAAAUAAUUUAAAAUUCAUUCAAAUCGUUCUAAUUAUUUAAAUUACUUAAUAGACAUUUAAAUUUAUAAUAUAUCAACUAUUAAAAUUUAUUUUAAAUAUUAGAAUAAUUUAUAAUUUAUAAAUUUAAAUAUCUCCUAAAUAAUAUUAAACAACUAGAGAAAUUUAAAAGGAUCGCAAAUUUUUUGUCAAAUCCCUCGAUCCAAACGUAGCCCCAGUAAAAAAAAAAGUAGUUCGAUAGUUUCGACACUCUUCAACAGACAUACACAUAACACUACAAGAAAAUUGCGUUUCUGUGACAGGCGAAAGUCGUCACUAAAAAUUCAGAAGUCGUCACAAAAAAAGUCAGUGACGACUUUUACUGCUGUCACAGAGCUGUCACUAGUUCUAUGUCACAAAAGGGGGUCCAUGUGACGACUGUUGAAAGUCGUCACAAACGAUUUCGCUUUUGUGAUGACUCUUGUCGUCACUCAUUGUUGUACAUUGUGUGACGAUUUUUAUUGUCACUAAACUGGCUAAAUUCUUGUCAUAGUCAACCCUUGGAGUUGUCACAUUAUGCUUCCGUUCAGUGACGACUUUUGUUGUCAUUGUUUUCCAUCCAUAAAAAGUGACGACUUUCUAGUGUCACUAGUAAAACUUGUUGGCAGUGACAACUUUUUUAUUGUCAUUUAUUUUUUUGUAAAAAGCAAUAAACUAAUGUUAAUUACGCAACAUAGCUGCCAACAAUCACAAAACGUUCAUUGAGUAGCAAGGAGAAAAAAAAAGCCAACAUACGAAAAGAAAACCAACAUUCAUUUCCAAUAGAAGAUCAACCCAAAUACAUAUAUAUAUAAAUGUUGCCUCAAAUGAGUCAUAAACCAUGCACCAUCCAAAAUAAGCCAUUCAGUUACAAUACUAGUGAUUUCCCAUCCACAAUAGAGAGUAGUAAAGUUCUAUACAAAAAUAUGAGCACGAUUCCCAUCUAGAACAAAACAUGAGCAUGAUAGGCCUUGUAGUCUUCAAUUCAAAAACCAUCUUCACAGCAAUGACUGGCUUCUUCUUCUUGGGAAUCGUGUUAGAACCUACACGUUACCAAAAUUGAAGCAAUGAGCACUGGUGUUAAAACUGGAACUACACUUCUAGAUAGGCACCAUAUUAUAAAAACUAAUGUCCAUAAAUUUGAAAUUAUAGCAAUCUAAGUAAAUUGCUUAACACAAAAAUAAAGUGAAAUUAUAUAUAUUGAAUAGUAAGCAAGAACAUUAGCUCCAAAAGAAAGGAUCAACUAAGCAAAUGCAUAUAUUCAUUUAGCCCAAUCCGCCAUAUUUUUUGUUUCAAGAAAGCUCCAAUGUGGUGGAGUACAACUGAACCACGUUCAAGAGUUCUAAGAGAACUUUCUAGUUUACAUUGGAUAUUAUGUGCACAUCAAAACUCCUUAAUCUCUAUUAACAAGAACAUGUUCACUAUCCAGGUUAGACACUCCAACAGGACUAGUAGCCUGCUUGCUUUACAGGUUUACAAUCAUAGCUGGUCUAUCCGCUUGAAAAUCAUUGAGAGCCUAGAUGAUCGUGAACCACACAGUAUAUCAAAAAAAAAAAACACACACACACACACACAAUCACAGGUGCCUCUUUUUCCUUAGCACAAAAAAAAAAUUUCUGAUACAGAAAAAUUUCGAUCCAUGUUGUUUUUAAUACUUUGCUGUGUCUUUAAACAAUAAUUAAUAAACUCAUGAAACCAAUCAAGUUAAGUACUAGAACUACACAGUUCAUGUGUACUACAACCAAAAGAAAAUUAAUCGAGUCCAAAUGGGUUAAACAUAUUAAACAGCACUGUGAUUAAUUCUCUCACAUGAAUUAGCAACAAAAAUCUCAUCUUAAUGGUAAAAAAUGCGAAAGGAUCAUCCAAUGAUCCAUAAAUCUGAUUCUGCAAUUGAUUAUCAACCAGAACCUCCACUCGGGUUAUAUAUAAAUGUCAAAGAUUAGACUUUUUACAACGAACCAUUCAUUGUAUGGUAAUCAGGACUGCUAUAUAUUGAGAACAAAAAGGUAACAAUAUAUAUUACACAUCUGAUAGAUUUGCUCAAAACCGAGGAAAUUUUAGCUGAAAAAUUUUCACUGUCUCAAUGCAUAAAGUUGGGAUUGCCAAAUGUUAGAAGAAAAGUAAUAAAUACUAAGGAUCUUAACAUCAAAUUCGUGUUUCUAAUAUGGAUAUAAGAUAGAAGGGUGUGAACUUAGCCCGUCCAAAAAAUUUUAAGAAGAAUCAUAUAAAUAUAUUAGCUGUAAUCAAAAGAGACAGUUUUCUUGAUUAAUGACUCUAUUCGGCUGUUACCACUUGUUUGACUAACGUCUGGAGUUAAUGAUCAACCACACAAAGUAAAACCAGUCUCUAUAAGAUUGUAACAUCAAUAUGUGGAAUCCAAAGGGAAACAAAUACUGGUAGAGUAGAAUACCAAACAAUAUUGUACUUAGAAUCCCUUGAUCAAAUAGCAGUUUGGGAGUUGAGAUCACAAAUCCGAAUACAUCCCAACGUUCAAACACAUUUGCUUUAAAAACACUAAAGUUUUGGUUGCAACAUCCAGCACCUCAAUGGCUGUAAUUAAACAUGAACAAGAUUUCAAGCACCUAAAUCAGCCUCAAGCAACUCAAUUGCAUUAAACAGGAAUCAGAUUUGGUGGAACCAGAUUUCAAGUGCCAUCAAGCAACUAAAUUGACAUCAAGCAACCCAAUUGUAUUAAAAAUGAAUCUCUAUUUUGUAGAACCAGAAUUCAAGUGCCUCAAUUGUAAUAACUAUGAAGAGCAAACAAUUUAUUUAUACCUGACACAGAAGUUGCUUAUUUGCGCAAGUCUUUCAGCUGGUUAGCUAACUCAUCAUACAGUCAUGGAUUUGAGAAAAGAGCAUUAAAAGUAUGUAGAGAAAAGGAAGGCCAAGGAAGACCAUGUAGAAAGCUGAAAGAAAAACCCCAAGAGAGCAAGGUCAGCUUCAUUCAGAACAAAUUUAGCUUGAUGAUCUAACAGCCUAACAGAAUGUAUCUGCGACAACAAAGACACUCAGAAGCCACAUGCGUGCACUUGCUCAUAAACACAAGGCAUGAAAUUUAUCUUGCUAUAUUAACUAACCAAUUGCUUUACCUUUCCUCUCUUUUUUUUUCCUUUUUCCGACAGUGAAACCCACAAUACCCCCCUCUCAUAACAUCAAUUCGGACUCAAACAUAGGGCAGCAUAAAAACAGAAAAAGUGCAAAAACCAGCACGUCAGAGCCUCUCAAGACUCUGUUUUCUACCAUGAAAAAUUAGCUAUCAUGUUCGGACAAACACUGAACUAGCCGAAUGUUCCUUUUUCUCACACGCAAAACGCAAGCAAAAUCAUCUUCAAGUAGAACUCUCAACUGGGCAUUUUAUCGAACAGGUCAGGGGUAUAAAGAAUUUCGCCAAUCCUUUGCUCAAUUUGAAGUUAAUCAGCCCCAAAAUUUACAGCAUCCCAAUCAAAUUUCUCACACACAACAGAAAUUAUAGCCCCACAUGAAUACAUAGACGUCAGAAAAGGAUAAAAGUUUUACUAAAAAGAAGAAAGGAAGAGAAAAUCAGGUCAAUACCUCUCAUUUUCACCCAUCCGCUAACAAAAUUAAAGAGAGGAAUGGAGAAAGGGAACCUUACCAAGCUUUUGCGGUGAGGACUUGCAGGUGGUGGUGGUGGAUUCUGGUGGCAGCAGCGGCAACAGCAACUCCUUGCUGAUUCCUUCGAUUCUUGGUUUUCCUUUGCUCUGUUUUCUUGUCGAAGCUCUUCCCUUUUUCCACCCCUCUUUUUUCAAUUUUUCUUCCGUCUACUCUCUGGCUCUCUCUCUCUCUUUUUGCUCUGUUUUCUUUUUCCUUUCUCCAAACCUCCUCCCUUUUUCCGUUCAGCCGAAGACCUCCUCUCCUUUUUCUCUUUCAUCCAACCAAAUUAAUGCAGUCAAAAAAUGUUCGCAUUUCAUAGCUCCUCAAAGAAAGCCGGUUCUGACCAUCCCUAACACUGUUAAUACUCCAGAUCGCAAGUGUUUCGGAUGCGAUUUGGCCAAGAGUAUUACCUUCCCCACUGCUAAUUAACAAUCUAAUUCAUAAAUUAGUCUUUACAAUAGAAGGCUGAGCAGCUUUUGAAAGCAAAAAAAAAAAAAAAAAACACAUACCGCACAAUUAGCUGAAGAGGGGGUCGGAGAAAAGUCUAAACUAAAGUCGCGGAACGAGGAGGGAGCUUGGAAGUGUUCUGACUUCGCUUCUUCGGCGAGCUUGACCUGAAGAUUGGCACUCGUCAAUGGUGCUUUAGAGGAGCAUUUUGUGGAAGCAGAAGGUGUCUGAGGUCCAGAGUUUUUCGGUGUUCACCAUAGGAAGGAAAGACUGAGAAUGAAAUUUGUCUAAGUGUUGGAAGAGAGAAGCGGCGAGAAUUUUGUUUGUCUGUGAACAACCAAAAACGACGUCGUUUUGUAGAGAUUUCAGCCACAACCUUCGCGCCUCUUUCAGAUUUCAGACUGGCGCUCUUUUUUUUUGGCAUCUAAACACGUCUUUGAGAUUCCAGGAUUCACGCCUUUAGCUUCAUACAUCUUUUUUCUUUUUUUUUUCCCUGGUAAAAUUUUUUUUUUCAGGUUUCUUUUUUCAUACUUAAUCUCUUUUUUUUUUCUUAAUCUCAUCUAUAAAUAUCAAAUAAAUUAUUUGAUAUUGGUUUCUUUUUUGUGCAUGUAUAUAUAUGUGUGCUUGUUUGUGUCUAUAUACAUCUUUUUGGGUUUGGACAACUCAAUAUACAAAUUAUUUAUGAAAUUACCUUACAAUAAAACUUACACAAUAAAAUAUGUUUCAAAAAUUUAACAUGCAUAGAAUUGCUUAUAUACAGUAUAGCACUUCUUACUCAUGCUUAUCAUACUCUUUGUCUAUUACUUAGCUUUUAUAAUAAAUUAAAAGAAACAUGUAAUCAAAUAUUCUGUUAAAUGUGUUACAACUCUAAAUCUUAUUGCACGACAGAUAUUUUACUGAAUAAUUUUAAUUUCGUAUAUACCCAUUCCAUAUGAAAAUAAUUAUUACUUAUGAUGUAUUACACGUUAUACUAAUCUUUCACAAUGCUAACAUUAGACUACAAAUUAUAUUCAAUUACACUUUUUCAAAUUAUUUCAGUUAUUGAUUUUUGGGGGUUGUUAUAAGUAAUAAUAAACAAUUCAUGAAAAAAAUUUUAUGCUCAGACAUGUCUAUUAUGUCCACUUAGCAAAAAUUACAAAUAUCUAAAACUAGUUUGUUAUUAUAUCAUUUGCAUUUUGCUAAUACGUAAUGAAUAGGGGCUAAAUUAUAAAAUUAGGGUGUCAUAUCUUCUGUGCUUUUGCUCAUAUAAAAGAAUUGGGGACUAAAUAAUAAAAUUAGGGUGCCAUAGUAGAAUUAGUGAAAUUUGAUGAAAAUACUAUAGAAUUGCUUAUAUACAGUAUAGCACUUCUUACUCAUGCUAUCCUACUCUUUGUCUCUUACUUAGUUUUUAUAAUAAAUUAAAAGAAACAUGUAAUCAAAUAUUCUGUUAAAUGUGUUACAACUCUCAAUCUUAUUGCACGACAGAUAUUUUACUGAAUAAUUUUAAUUUCGUAUAUACCCAUUCCAUAUGAAAAUAAUUAUUACUUAUGAUGUAUUACACGUUAUACUAAUCUUUCACAGUGCUAACAUUAGACUACAAAUUAUAUUCAAUUACACUUUUUCAAAUUAUUUCAGUUAUUGAUUUUUGGGGGUUGUUAUAAGUAAUAAUAAACAGUUCAUGAAAAAAAUUUAUGCUCAGACAUGUCUAUUAUGUCAAUACAAAUAUCUAAAAAUAGUUUGUUAUUAUAUCAUUUGCAUUUUGCUAAUACGUAAUGAAUAGGGGCUAAAUUAUAAAAUUAGGGUGUCAUAUCUUCUGUGCUUUUACUCAUAUAAAAGAAUUGGGGGCUAAAUAAUAAAAUUAGGGUGCCAUAGUAGAAUUAGUGAAAUUUGAUGAAAAUACUAUAGAAUUGCUUAUAUACAGUAUAGCACUUCUUACUCAUGCUAUCCUACUCUUUGUCUCUUACUUAGUUUUUAUAAUAAAUUAAAAGAAACAUGUAAUCAAAUAUUCUGUUAAAUGUGUUACAACUCUCAAUCUUAUUGCACGACAGAUAUUUUACUGAAUAAUUUUAAUUUCGUAUAUACCCAUUCCAUAUGAAAAUAAUUAUUACUUAUGAUGUAUUACACGUUAUACUAAUCUUUCACAGUGCUAACAUUACACUACAAAUUAUAUUCAAUUACACUUUUCCAAAUUAUUUCAGUUAUUGAUUUUUGGGGGUUGUUAUAAGUAAUAAUAAACAAUUCAUGAAAAAAUUUUUAUGCUCAGACAUGUCUAUUAUGUCAACUUAGCAAAAAUUACAAAUAUCUAAAAAAAGUUUGUUAUUAUAUCAUUUGCAUUUUGUUAAUACAUAAUGAAUAGGGGCUAAAUUAUAAAAUUAGGGUGUCAUAUCUUCGGUGAUUUUGCUAAUAUAAAAGAAUUGGGGGUUAAAAAAUAAAAUUAGGGUGUCAUAGUAGAAUUAGUGAAAGUUGAUGAAAAUACUGUAGUAUACAGUGAUGCAAAACGUUGUCACAAAAUUGGAAUCAGGUAGACUUUCAAUGACAACAAGUUAUGUUGUCACUGUAGAGAGAGCGUUUGUGACGACUUUACUUGAGUUGUCAUAAAAUCAUUUCCCGCGGCAUCAAAUGAGAUGCGCGCCAACUAUUUCGUGACGAGUUGAGAAUGACAACUUCCAAUGUUGUCACUGAUUAUGCUUGUGUUGUACUCAUCUGUGAUGACACCUAAUGUCGUCACUGAAUUAGGUUAUCUGUGACAAGAUUUUUGUUGUCACAUAAAUUUUUGUCACUGAAAAAUAUAUUUCUUGUAGUGUAAAGAAUGACUCAGAGACUACGAAGAACCAAGAGAGCGAAACCACUUGUAACGCUUGCUCACCUGCCCUAGUAUUUUUGAAUUGAGUUGAGUCCCCCUCUUUUUUUUUUUUUUUUUUUUACUUUCAUUUACUUUCGGUAACAAUAGGUUGAACCCUUCUGUUAGUACCAGUGCUAGAUAUUCAAGCAAUCAAUGUGCGGAUCACUUUGUCAAUAAGAAAUAUUCUGAAAUUAUUAAACUUUGCAAAAGAUUAACAGAAGAAAAAAACUGAGAAUACUUCUGAGACAUAUUUCAUGUAAAGGAUAGUGCAUAAAUUAUAAAAAAUACUUGUUAUAAAUUCAGGUAAAAUGAUAUCCUACUAUGAUAUACUUCUACAACACAAGUCAAGUAAUUAGUUCUAAUGAUAUGAAGUAAAAAAUUCUUUCAUUGAUUUGGUCAAGGAUUUACUGACAUUAAUUAUAGCGAGAAGAUGUUAGGAUACAAAAUAAAUAAAUAAAUAAAUACUGAUACAAAGAAAACCAUUAACUGAAGAAUUUAAAACAUGAAAGUGCUAUAAUAUUUUUAAAUAUAUAUAUUUUUUAAAAAUUUAUUUGCCUGUAUUAUCAAUACAUUUUUCAAUUACCUUUUUAUCUCACAUACAUCAUAUAAAAAAAGUACUACAAUGUUUUUUUUUCAAAAUAUUAUUCCAAAUAAUCUACUCCAAACACGCACACAUAUAAACACCAAACUUGAUCAACUUUAAUCAAGUGAUAAUCAAAACUGGUUUAUUUAUGUGAUAAGUAAACCGCGACAUUCUUAUUGAUCACAAUGACUUUGAAAAUAUUUGACAUUAGCAAAGCUCUUUAAAAAAACAAUCGAGAAAUAAUCAAUCAAAGUGUUUGGUAAUCAUGAAGAUGUGAAAUAGGUCACCACUAAUGAAAUGAAGUAGGGUUAUCUAGCCGAAAAUCAUGUUGACCAAAAAAAAAGGCUAUUUAGAAUUUUAAUUAUUUAGAAGUUGAUUUUUUAUUUGGUAAUUAGAUUAGAAUUGUUGUUAAAGUUGGUUUAGAAAAUAUAAAGCCUGUUUGAAAGGUGAGUUUUUUGGGAGUUUGUCUAAAACUUUACUGUAGCUUACUGUGAAAGUUUUUUAAAAAAAUUUUGAAAUAUGUAGAUUUUUGAAUAUUUUAAAGUGUAUAAUUUAAAAACUUUGAGAAAGUUUUUGAGGUUACUAUAGAUAAAGUUUUUAAAAAACUUGUAGCAGAUAAACUUGGCAAAAAACUUGGAUUCCAAACAAUGAAUAUAGUUGAAUUGUGUUAAGACAUUAAUAUUGGAAUAAGUUACAUGGCUUUAUUUAUCUAUUUAAGGACUUGAAAUCCUAAGUUUGUAUUUGAGGAAAAAAAUCAAUUUGUUGAAUAAAUUAUUGAUCCUUCCUUGCCUUCCUUAUCCUUGAUAUUUUGAUAUGUUCUGCCGUUUGAAGCUUUUGCUUCAUCUAUUAUGACUAAUCAAAGUCUACCAAAGUCCACGGAACCCUGCAGUACACGAAGCCGUACGACUUGUUCAUCUUUGGAUGCCUUUUUUUUUUUUUUUUUUUUUCAUCUUUGGAUGCCUUCUUUCUUGAUAUGAGAAUUAUAAUACCUCUACUGCGUUUUUUUUAAAUGCUAACAAAUGGUACCAGAACCUUGGUCAAGAGUUUGAUUCUAAAAUGUUUAUGAAACUUGAAGGGUGUGAAGAAUUUAUGAUAGAAGAUCAUGUUGGAACAGCAAUAAAGAAAAUACUAUGAAAUGGCUGCAAAAUUAACUGGAAAAAGGUUUCAAAUCAUGAUUGCAAAUCACUUUUUUUAAAACUUUAUUUGUCCACUAUAUUGUGCAAAAGAUCAAGGACGAAUAUUCUUUAGGAUAAUAUAAAGUUUGGUUGCAAAACUCUGCACUAAAUUGUUACAACUCCCAAAGAACAAAGAAGAGAAGAGCAAAAAUUUUUGUAGUGUUUGUAUAUCUUUUUGUCUGCAGCCAAAAGACCAUAAAUUGAUUCACAUAAAUAAGAUUUCAUGUUCCUUAAACAAUUAGUAACCAUUAGAAACAUGUUUAGAGUUGUAUCUUUUCAAAUGACGAUUGAAACAUGAAAGGUUGGGAAUGAAACGUAAAAAGCUACUUCUAGAAUUAUGUCCGGAUUUUCAAUAUUUAAAAAAAUUCAAACAAUCCCCCACAGAAGGUGAAGAAUCAGCCAUUCAUUCAGCUAUGUGCAACUUUGGGCCUGUUUGGCAAAGAAGUUUUUGACCAAGUUUGUCUGCCACAAUUUCUUAACAAUUUUAAUUACAGUAAUUUCAAAAAAAAAUUAAAAGUUUUUAAACUAUAUAUUUCAAAAUAUCCAAAAAUUUAUACAUUUCAAAAAUUUUUCCUAUAACUUUUACAGUAAAUUACAGUAAAAUUUUAAACAAACACUCAAAAAACUCAUUUGCCAAACGGGUUCUUUCUUUGGGUGGUGUCUAGCUUGGUGUAGUACUGUUUCUGUUAAUGUUUUGUGUAAAGGCUUGAAUUACUUUUGCCUGGAAAUCACAUAAUCUACUGGAUUGCAAUGGAUCUUUUUUCUUGUAUGUGGUCACCCUAAUCUGAAAAAUAGAAUCCAAGUUUGGCAUAAUAUUUACUAUUGGCUGUCUAAUUAUUCAAAACCAAUUGCUAUUGUGGGCAAAUUUAACCAGGCAGUUAAUUCAGAGGUAAACUUACUUUUAAUGGACCUUCUUGGAUGCUGAAAGGAGCAAACUACUCACCAAUUAACUUGAUAAAUGUGCAUGAAUUACAGCAUCUAGGUUCUUCUAAUGCCGUGUAUGAGAGACUUGACGGCGUUUGUUAAUCAGGCUUGGAUUCAAGUUUUCCCGAAACCUAUAGUAAAAAAUCUUCCCAUCAUGAGAUCGGAUCAUGGCCUUGUAAUUUUGGACACAUAAUUUGGUCCUACUAAGAAGUUUUCGAGACCAAAAUUUGAAGCAUUUUGGUGGCGGGAUAAUUAAACGGGGAGUCAUCCCCAUUUUCCACUUCCUCAAUUUGACCUACCAUGGAUGCAAAGAAAGUACCAUACUCAUUUAAAUACUCCGCAUAUAAACCAUGAGGUUGAACCCACAAAAGUAUUUGUGUAACUGAGAUACAAGAAAAAAGCCCGGUUUGGUACCCAGCGGUGAAGAGCCAAUAACGUAACAUGCACCGAGCAAAGAACACUGUUUAACCACUGAACCAAAGCUCACUAGCCACCAAAAGGGAUUAAAUCCCUCUUUGAGUGAUAAGUCGAGGGUUCGAAUCACAUUUACAGUGAAAAAAAUUCAAACAGAGUGUCAGGACACCUAUUUGGUCUAAUUAAAUUCUUAUAACUACUAACUUUUUAUACACAGUCUCUUUAAACUCCACUCCCUAUAUAUUAUGAUAGAUUAAAUUAUAAAAAUAUUAUGAUUACUUAAAAAAAAAAAAAAGUAAAGACCACUGUUUAAAAUAAAGAGCAUCUCUUGGAGCGAGGAAAAGCCAAGAGAUAAAAUUUCCCAUCAAAGUAAGAACUUGAACAUGUGGUUUCCCGUUCAAUUGCAUGUACUCUGUCGCAUCUCUUGUAGCGAGGAAAAGCGAAAGAGGUAAAGUUCCCAUCAAAGUAAGAAUUUGAACAUGUGGUUUCCGGUUCAAUUGCACGUACUCUAUCAUAAUUUCCAAGUUUAAAUGAAAAUAAUUUACUCCUCCGUCCCAGUUAUUUGAUUCUAUUUUAAGAAUCCAAUUUUUAAGAAUAGUAUUUUGAUUGUGGCGUAUGUACUUCUUUUUCUAAUUUUAUCUUUACAGAUUCAAAAUUUAAAUUUUAAUGAUAACAUGCAUAUGAUUAAACAGAGUUAUAUUGAAAAGAGAGAUUAAAAGAUGUUUUAAUUUUUUUAAUAGAACAGAUAUUUUGAAACACCUCAAAAUAAAAAUGGGAUAAUUUCACAAACCUCCCCUGAGGUUUCUGACACUUGCACUGAGACCCCUCUAGGUUUUAAAAAUUUUACCUAGAUCCCUUGCUUUUCAAAUUUGGUAACAAUUCAGUCCAAUUAGGAUUAAAAUAUUACUAUCAUGAUAGAGAUGACAUUUAUAUUUCAUGAAUAUCCUCUUCCUCCCCAUAUUAGUACAAGAUUGCUUGUUAAUAAAAAGGUAGAGAUGAUUAUGGGUAUUUUAUUUUGAAUCAUUUAAUUUAUGUUAAAUACAUAAUUAUUUGCAAAUAAAAUUCAAAAGCCGUUACACAAAUAUUUUUACGAAAGGAAAACUAGCAUGUUUUGUAUUUAAUAUAAAUGAAGUAUUUGAAAGUAAAAAAAAAAAUGUCCAUAACAUACCAGUUCUUUACGAGUUUCUUCCAUUAUAUGAAUAAAGCACUAGUUAUGUAUGAGUAUUUUACUUUGAAUCAUUUAAUUUAUAUUAAAUACAUAAAUGUUUAUAAGUGAAAUUCAAAAAGUGUUACACUAAUAUUAUUACGAAAGGAAAACUAGUAGGUUUUUAUUAACAAGGUUUUUAUUAACAAACAAUCUUGUACUAAUAUAGGGAGGAAGAGGGUAUUCAUGGAAUAUAAAUGUCAUCUCUAUCAUGAUAGUAAUAUUUUAAUCCUAAUUGGACUGAAUUGUUACCAAAUUUGAAAAGCAAGGGAGCUAGGUGAAAUUUUUAAAACCUGGAGGGGUCUCAGUGCAAGUGUCAGAAACCUCAGGGAAGGUUUGUGAAAUUAUCCCAAUAAAAAAAAAAGAUGCUUUCAAUGCAACAUAGGAGUACUAAAUAUCCAAGAAAAUAAAGCUCAAACCUGGCCACAUAACGAGACAGCUGAGGGAAUUGAAGAUCAACAUUCGAGGCAUGUGCACUUGAUUUGCUGAAGAAGGAACAUCAGGAGGAAUCUUUCAUCUUUCGUCAGAAAAAUCUGAGCCAUGUCCAGACUCCCUAACCACCAGCCUUUGGCCCCGUGGCCACCGGUUAAGCCUUUCAAUUGUUAUAUUAAGUGGUUUCUUAAAAAAUUUAGAGAGAUAUGUAAUGCAUCCAUCUAGUCUGGUAUUGGUUCAAUCUCCAUCGACCUUUUCAGAUCCAGUUGGGUCUCUCCCUUAGAUUGAAAUAGUGUAAUAUACUAUAGAUAAGGUGAUGAAUGACAAAAUAUAUAAGACUCCCUACUUUCAGACCAACCACCUUGUCCAUCCAUUGCGAAAUGCACCUGCCAUAACAACAUAAGAAGAAAGAGACAGGUGAACCACACGGUGAAACCAGUGCACAGAACAGGCAAUAUGGCAGUAGGAGACCCCAAAGGAACAAGAAAUAUCCAAAAAGGCAUUAUGGCUGUAGACAAUGACGCAAUAAGGGGAGCUGAUGAAGGCCAUGACGCCUUCUAAAUUUUGAAAAUUUUAAUUUAUAAUGUAUAAAAUAUAUAUAAAAAAAUAAAGUUGAUCCCUCCUAAUUUUUUAUAAUUUUAAUUUUUAUCAUGAGAAUUUAUAUAUAUUUUUUUAAUUAAAGUUAAUAUUUGAUUUUUUAGAUGUCAUAUAUUUAAAUAGAUAAAAUUUAUUUUAAUCAUAACAUAUUAAGAAAAUUUUGAUCCAAAAAAAAAAUCUUGAGUCCGUCACUCACUGUAGAAGGCCCCCAAGGAACAAGAAGUAUCCAAAAAGGCAUGGCUGUAGAAGACCCCAAAGGAACUAGAAUUGUCCAAGUUUACGAAAUACGCAAAGAGACAGACAAAGUAUGGUGGCGUGCGGGAAAAGUAAUCGGGACAGAGCAACUCCGGUCUUGGAGUGGCAACCCAUGAUGUUGAAGGAGAAGAAGAAAAGCUCCUAAUUGAGAAGACUUCUCAGUUCAAAGAGAAUUUCUUUACGUAAAGGUCAUUUUUCAUCCAUGCCAAGUUGGACUGCAAGCAUCAUCGUGCCUGUUGUUUGUUUUUGGUCCAAGGGAAGACUCCAAGCUUUACCACAAAGAAGGAAGAAAGAGACGGGUUUGAGAGUUGAAUGGAACUUUGGGAGUCGUGUGGAUUGCUAUUUUUAAAAAAUUUUGUAGAUAAAUAUAUUGUACCGGUUUAAUAUAUAUAUAAAAUAAAAAAUAAUUAAAAAAUAUGUUUAUGUAAAACGUAAUUUUUUUUUUUGGAGAAAAAUGGUUUUUCAAACAAGAAGAUCAGUUUGAUUAAUGUUUUCAACUUGUUCCUUUAGUUGUGAUGUUCAUAUUACAAGUUGAAUUUUCAAUGCGGACCAUUUAUGUAUGUACAUUUGGGGCACUCUAACACAAUCCAACCAUUGGGAUAACCGAGAAUAAAUUCUGUCUCUAUCUCUGAGACCAAAAAAAUAAAAGAUGAUAAACUCUGUUUGUGUUUUAAAAUGAACUCGGGGUUGGAACUUGGGUACUCAAUACCUGCAAAUAGUUUUGACCAAAAAAAAAACCUGCAAAUAGUUAAAGAUAAUUUCUGAAUGAACAACUUUUAAAAAAAAAAUUUAAGAUGCAUUAUUAUGUAAAAUAUAAUUGUAAUAGAAAAAACAACCAAGGAUUCUAAUUUUAUGAAGUAAGAGAAGCAUUAUGUUGCAAUCAUUGUUUGAAUUAACUAUUUCAACGCCUUUGUUAAUUAGGUCAUCUAACAUAGGAUGGAGGAAAAAAUGCAAUCCAACGGGCCAUGGGUAGGCUUUGUCUCUUUCGUUGGAAAACGUGGCGGUCGUUGCAGAUAGCGAGAUAGAUUAUUGAGACAGGCAAACCAUGGAAUCAAGCCUAGAACAAUUCCAGACAGAUUUAAGAUCCAACCUCCAACCACCGCCUGGAUUGAUUAAGUCAAUAAUGGCAGCUGUCUCAUGGUCUCUUGCUUCGCAUUAGCGGACUUCUUUUUCUUUGUUGCCAUUUUCUUUUUUUCUUUCUUUUAUGCAACAUUCACCCAAUGUUUUUAAACUCGGACCGGUCAGUGAACCGGAGAGGUGGCCGGUUCGCGGUUCGACCGGUCCAACCGGCCGGUUCAAAGGUUCACUUUUUUUUUUUUUUUUUAAGUGUUAAGUACUAAACAGGUUUCAUUCUACACUUGAACUUUACUAACAUAACUUAAUUUAAGUUAUGAUAAUAAUAAAUUUUCUAAAAAUUAUACACAAAACAUGGAAUGAUAAAUAUAAUUAAAAUAUCAUAAUUCACCACAAGUUUUCAUAAAUUCAUUAUAAACAUAAAUAGAUACAAUCCAAAUGUGCACCAAUUAUCACAAAUAAAAACACAAAAAAUAAAUUAAUUAAAUAUUGAAAUUCUUUUACAACCCUUAAAAAAAUCCAUAAAAGAGUUCAAGUUAAGACAAACUAUUUGAAUAGCAAACUUUUAUCAGUGGCAUGAUAAGCAACCACACCACCUUCACAAUUUCAUCAACUUAAGCUGAAAAAGUUAAAAUUUUAUUAUAAAAAUAUAAAUCUAAUUGCUCAAACUAAAAAAAACUAAAAAUUUUUGAAAAACAAAUAUACAGUUAAACACAUAAAAAAUUAAUUGCUACUAAACAUUACUAAUUAACAUGUUAUAUUAAAUUCAAUGAUCCUAUACCAUUAAUUAUUUUAAAUUCAAUUAUCAAUAGCUUCGAUUAUGUGCCAACUACCAUAUUUUUGACCAACCCAAUGUUAUUAUUUGUAAUUCCUACCCAAUUCCUACACGGAUGUGCACUACUUUUGUAAAAAUUUCAUCCUUAAUUAAUCGAAUAAAAAUAAAACAAAAAUGAGGGAAACAUAUGAAAAUUGAGGGGAAAAAGAAGAAAAUGCAAAAAAUCAACUAAAGAUAAUAAUAUAGAAAAAAACCUUGAAAAGAAAAAAAUUAAACUUACUAAAAUGUUGGAAAACAAGAAAAGUUGAAAUUUUCAACUUGUUUACAAUCUGCUAAAGAUAAUAACCUGAUAAUAAUGGUGAAGACUUGAGAAAAUCUUGUUGUGGAUAUUUGGGUUAAAAAUGGUUAAGAAGAAAAAAUUGAAAAAAAAAAUAAGAGAAGAACUUGAUGUUUUAAUAUAUUUUUUAGUCAAGUAGAAUUCUCAGCAAACUUAAGUACAGUCUAGCGGUAAGUAGGGGUGGCAAUUUUCGACACGACCUGAAAACACGACACGAACCUAACACGAAAUUAAUGGGUUUGGGUUGAGGUUUUGGGAAUUCGGGUCAGAAUUGGGUUGGACCCGAUGAACCCGAAAAGAAAACAGGUCGAUUUCGGGUCAACCCGUGGUGACCUGAUAUGACCCGAUAUGACCCGUUUACGAAUUAAAAUAAUUUAAUAAAUAUAAAAAUAAUUUAAUCUAACUAACCUAAGUUAUUCUUUUUUUCAAAGGCAUUAAUUACUUAAUCAUAAAUGAAUUUAUUUAAUUUGUGUGAAGUUGAAAUUAUUAUAUUUGGACAAAUAAUAUAUUAUAUUAUUUUUUACUUUUAUACUGUUUUAAUUUAUUUUAUAUUUUGUUUGGGAUAAAACACUUUUACGGUGUUUAAUUUAUUUUAGAUUUGGUUUGGAAUUACUUAUUUAAAUUUUUAUUACUUGAUUAUGUAAUUAGUUUUGUGAGAAAUUGAUUUUAUUAGAAAUUAUAGUGAUAAAUUAAUAAAUUAAAAUUAAGUUUCGGGUCAUUUCGGGUCGACCUGCCAACCCGUCAACCUGAAAUUUUCGAGUUCGGGUCAGCAUACCUGACCCGUCACGGGUUGGCGGGUCGGGUUCGGGUCAACAGAUUUUUCUGACGGGUUGACCCGAACCCGACCCGCCAACCUGAUUUGGACCCGAAUUGCCACCCCUAGUGGUAAGAUUGUCAUAUUUAAACUUGGAGUUCCAGGUUCGAAUCUUAGCUACACCAUUCUUGAUAUUUUGUUGAAGAAUUUAAAAAACCGCCGGUUCACGGUUCUUAACGGUUCGCACGGUUCGUCCGGGUUUCAACGGUUCUCCAUGAACUUCCGACUUUAGCAUUAGACCGGACCGGUGACAUGGCCGUUCGCGGUCCAACCGGUCGAACCGGCCGGUCCGGUCCGAUUCUGAAAACAUUGCAUUCACCAAUGAAAGUGCAGCACCUUUAAUCAUCCUCAUAUCGAUUAGCAAACAAAUGCAUUGCUAUUAGCUAUUGGUCAUUGUUUAGUCUUUUGAUGUAGCUGAUUAACUUGAAACCUACCCACUUCUCUUUUCUUUUGUUUGUGAAGUUUUGAAACUUUUAUGAAUGUAUUCUUUGAACAAAUAAAGGAAUAUGUAACAUUUUUUGUGAUGUGAUAUAUAUGUGAUAAAAAAAUGAUUAGAAAUUGUGCCCAUGAAACGAGCGGGAUAAUCUUUGUAAAUUUUUUUCAGAAAUCAUACUAUUUGUUUGGAUUGCAUUUUUUUAGAUUUUUUGUAAAAAAAAUUAUUGUAACGAUUUGAUAUAUGUAAAAUAAAAAGAUGAUAGAAAAAUGUGUUUACGGAAAAUGUAACAAUUUUUCUUUGAAAAAUUGCUGUCCAAGCAGGAACCUAUUUUAUUUUGGCUUUUCCAUUGUUUGGGACCUUUGGGUACCCACAUGCUUAACAGUGGGCACUGAAAUUUUACUCCGGACAGGUUUCGUGUAAAUUGGUUUACGGUAUGGAUGUUUCGCACCCUGAACUAUUAUUUGUAGUUUUUUUUUUUUGAAAGUAUUAAUUGAUAGUAUUAAAAUGCCUUGUUCUAUUAAUUUCUAGCACGUUCCUUAAAUUAAUUGAAAACCUCUCAGAGCCAAGGUAUAUUGUUAAUAGUAAAUCUUAUAUACAUUGAUAGUGUAUAUACUAUCACGGUUAGAUAUAUUAUAUAUAUAUAUAUACAAAAUUUGAAUUUCAAAUUCAAAUUGAAUUAUGUGUUAUGUAACUAAUGGUGAAUGUAUAUAUACACUGUCAGUGUAUAGAAGAUUAAUCAUAUUUUUAAAUAAAAAGACUUUUACCCUCAAGUGAAGGAGAGAGUAGCAGUGAAUAAAUGAAAAUCGGAAGUAUUAAAAUCUUUUUAAUUGGGAAAAAUGGUUUGUAAAUUUUUUUUGAUUUUUAAUGAAUUUGAACAAUGUACUAAAAGUAAUAGCAAAAGUUAGUAAAGUGCUAAAUUUGACGAUAAGUGUCAAAAGUACAAAUCAAUGAUAGUUUAGGAUGUAAAGUGCAUUUAAUCCUUAUAAAUGUUAGACAUUUAUAAAAAAGCUCUAUCUAACAAGUACCUUAAGAUGGAGUGCAGAUAUAACUGUUUUUCUUUCUUUCUUUCUUUUAUUAAAAAAAGAAGCUAAAUAGUGAAAGCAUAUAAAUGUAAGGAUUGCCACUUGAAGUACAUUCCAUAUUUUGCUGGAAAUAAUUAUUUGGCGCUUGAAAAAAAAAUUAAAACAAAGGACCACAAUACAGCCAAAAGUUAAAACCACACGUGUAAUGGUGAUAUGGAGAAGUGGGCCAAAGUUCCCACGUCACUUGAUGACUAGGAGAAAGUUCACCUCCUCCACCUGCUACUAAAUACUGCACGUAAGAAAGAGAGCUAAAUAGUAAAUACAUCACAUCGAAGAAAAAAUAUCUGACUCAUACGAUAGCACCAAAAUCUUGAAGCCCAAUGGGCCAUAGAUUGGAUUGGCCGAUUCACUGAUUAAACUAUAAAUAUAUCAUACUUUCGAUUCAAUUUAAUAACCAACUAAAAAAUUUAGUUGAAUUGGUCAAAUUCAAUUAAAAACGGGUUGGCUUGAUAAAAACAGGGAAAUUCAACUGAAUUUCACUAAUUUUUUUUUUAUAAAAAGAUACUUCAGUUUAUUCCCUUUUUUAAUACUAAUUAAAAAAAAGAUUAAAACCUUUGCAUCGGUUGAACCGCAAUCCGAAAACUCUUCCAUUUCACUCUCCUGUCUGGGUUUUAAAACAUUGAAUUCAGUCUAUGGAUUCAGAUAUUCCAUCACAAACUAGUUGUCUCUUUGGCAAGUGGUUGGAAACGUCCACACGUAAGGCUUCUACCUGGGAGAAGUCAGAAGCAUACCAGUAGAUUCGAAGAAAAACACAGCAGAUCAGUUUCUAAGCUACAAACAUGGAAAAAACACAGCUUGUUUUUGUUCCAGCACCAGGCAUAGGUCACUUGGUAUCCACAGUUGAGUUCUCAAAGCGCUUAACUGAAAGAGAUGACCGGCUAUCAAUAGUUGUUCUGGUUAUAAGCUCAGUCUCUGCCAAAAAAAUGGAGUCGUACACUGAACGAGUGGCUGCUUCAAACACUGCUAUUCAAUUCAUCAACAUUCCUCAAGCAGAUCCACCUUCAGCAGAGUUCUUGAAGUCCCUCGAAAACUAUCAUGCUCUUUUCAUGGAAAACCACAAAUCCCAUGUCAAAAAAGCAAUAGUCGACCUAGUAUCAGAACCACAUACUUCUCUUGCCGGAAUUGUGGUUGAUCUAUUCUGUAGUUCAAUGAUUGAAUUAGCAAACGAGCUCGGUGUUCCUUCCUAUGUGUUCUUCACCUGUAGCGCUGCCUUUCUUGGCUUCAUGCUUUAUCUCCCAAUUCACUAUAACCAGAUUGGAAGAGAAUUCGAGACUUCGGAUUCUGAUUCGAUCAUUCCAACUUAUUCUCACCCUGUCCCUACAAAUGUCGUGCCUUCUUUUGCAUUUAACAAGUAUGGUGGUUAUGCCUCAUUCUUGAAACAUGCUACAAGGUUCAAAGAGACAAAAGGAAUCAUCGUAAACACGUUUGCAGAAUUAGAACCUCAUGCUGUGAAUCAAUUGAAAUCCGACAGUGAAACACUACCAAUUUACACAGCUGGACCCUUGCUCGACCUGGAGGGCAAAAGGCAAGACUCAGACUGCGAAAGGAUAAUGAAAUGGCUAGAUGACCAGCCUCCAUCAUCAGUGGUAUUCCUCUGUUUUGGAAGCAUGGGUAGUUUUGAGCCUGACCAGUUAGCAGAGAUGGCAAUUGCCCUCGAGCACAGUGGCUACAGGUUCUUGUGGGCUGUCAGGUCGCCCCCAUCCAAGGACGAUAUCACAAAAAGGAUGGGCGAAUAUUCCAAUUUGUCUGAAGUACUUCCAGAAGGUUUCUUGGAACGUGUCGAGAAUCGAGGAUUGGUGUGUGGUUGGGCACCGCAGAUGGAGGUGCUGGCUCAUGAAGCAGUUGGUGGAUUUGUAUCGCACUGUGGCUGGAAUUCCACCCUGGAAAGCCUGUGGUAUGGGGUGCCUGUUGCAACAUGGCCUCUUUAUGCUGAGCAACAAAUUAACGCAUUUGAAUUGGUCAGAGAAUUGGGACUAGCUCUGGAAUUGAAGUUGGAUUAUCGAACGGAAAAUGCAAAGAAUCUUGUAAUGGCUGAGGAAAUAGAGAAAGCUAUCAGAUGCUUGAUGGACUCCGAAAAUCCAAUCAGAGGGAGAGUUAAAGAAAUGAAAGAAAUGAGUAGAAAGGCCAUUCAAAAUGGGGGCUCUUCAUUCAUCUCAGUUGGACGCUUUAUUGAAGAUAUCCAUAUCAACAAAGCAAAUAAGGCGUAGAAUCAUUUCCGCCACAUGAUCAUGUUAUCAGUAGAUUAAGGGAAGUUUCUUCAGCUGCUCCUAUUUCCCAAAAUCAAUUUGCUUUGUUUAUUUUAGUGUUUCUUAAUCGAUCUUAUUGUCACAUUUGGGAUUAAAUUCAUGUUAGCACGGCCUCCUUGUGUUUGAAUAUAUAUGUUUUUUCUUCAUACUGAGGUCCUGGAGUUCGUCAUUACUUCCCUUUUUCAUAAGUUUUGUUAAAUUGCUAUUAUGUACUUCUUAGUUCAUACUUAUCUUCUUAUCUUUUGUGAUUCCAUUAUUAAAAAAUUUUCUUGGUAAUCAUCUUUUCGGUUUGACAUGGUGAGCACACUCUCAAUUUUAGUGAAAACUGAAAAUUAAGUAAUCUUGUUAUACAUCUUAAGUUUGUAAUUCUAACUUAUUUUGUGUGUAAAUACUAAAUAGUGAAUACGUGAAAAUGGAUGUAGAUCACAUUCCUCACGGUCCAUCAAUCAAGUGUAAAAAAAUUUGGUCAAAUCUUGGACAUGAAAUAUGGCCAAAUUUGCAUUCUUUCCCAAGUCAGGUCUUCAAUCCUGAUCGAAAGUUGUUCAAUCAAUUUAAUAUUGGAAUCCAGUAUCAUUUAGAUCUGGAUUUGGUGGCAAAUCAAUUGCAAUCUCCAUUAGUUAAUAAUACAAAGCCACUAAAUCUUGAAGGUCCAGGUGUUCGGUUCCAGUUUUGCUUCUGUGAAAUAAAUAAUAGAAAGCGUGGUCAAGUGGCUUUGCUCAUGCAUGACCAAACCCCUUUCAUUUUUUUUCCCCUCUUUUCUGUAUAUCACAAACAAAUCUACCUAUUAUAUAAGAAAGAAGUGAGAUUGCUGCAAUCUCUAUGGUGCUGUAGCAAUCUCUAUGGCUGCCAAGUGGCGCCCAUCUACUUUGACACAUGGCUCAUUAAUCUUUUGAGUAAGCUAUCUUUAUUUUUUUUCCCUUUUUUUUUUUGGCUUUUAUUUUCCCCUCAUUUCCUUCUUUCUUUUUGGCAAAAGACAACCACAAGAACUCUCAUCCUCAUCUACACUAUCACUUGCAUACUCAAUUUUCACUCUGUACUCUUUUCAUUUUUUUUCUCUUUUUUUCCUUCACCCUAAAUUGUUUACUCUGUUUUUUUUUCUAUUAAAUUAGUUGAUGCAUUUUUUUUUCAAUUUUUCCAUAAUUAACUAAAUGAAUGGUUUUUGUUGUUGGAGGGGAUGAGGGAAGAUAGCAAUUUUUAUUGAGUGAAGAUAACAAUUUUUCCUCAACUUAUAUUCAUUCCAAUUUUAGUUUUCAUUUAUUAAAAUUGUUAUUUGAUAAUAGGCUAAUAGUGCUAGGAUGGAUGAGGAAGAAUUUGACAAGUGAAGAUCCAAGGUGAAUGAUGGCUGCCAAAUGGCUCCUAUCUACUUUGACAUGCGGCUCAUUAAUCCUUUGAGGAAACUAUUUUUUUUUCCUUUUUCUUUUGGCUUUCUUUUUUCUCCUCAUUUCCUCUUUCCUUUCUGGCAAAGACAAUCACAAGAACCCUCAUCCUCAUCUACACUAUCAUUUGCAUGCUCAAUUUUCACUCUGUACUCUUUUCAUUUGUUUCUCUUUUUUUUUUCCUUCACCUUAAUCAUUUACUCUUUUUUUUUAUAUUGAAUUAGUUGAUGCAUUUUUUUUCAAUUUUUCUAUAAUUAACUAAAUGAAUGGGUUUUGUUGUUUGAGUGGAUGAGGGAAGAUAGCAAUUUUUGUUGAGGGAAGAUAACAAUUUUUCCUCAACUUAUUUUCAUUCCAAUUUUAGUUUUCAUUUAUUAAAAUGGUUAUUUGACAAUAGGCUGAUAGUGCUAGGAUGGAGGAGGAAGAAUUUGACAAGUGAAGAUCCAAGGUGAAUGAUGACUCGGAAGGAAAUAGAGAGGUCUAUUGAAGUUAAAAUUAAUCAAAAUCUCUUAAUUUAUAGAUAGAUAAUUAUAUUUCCAUAUUUUGAUUUAUUUAAAGUUUCUUAAUAGUGAAAAAUGGUUAUUUAUUAGAUGAGAAGGAUAAUAUGUAAAGGAAUUGUCGGGGCUAGCAAUUUAGGAUAUGAAUAAAAUAUUUCGUAUAAUCUCUUCAUUUUAGGUUACUGACUUGUAUCCAUGACAAGUGGCUUAUUUUCAUUGCAUGAUAGUUUGAGAAGAAAAAAAAGUGUAAAACUAGAUUUUAAAAUCAUUUGCUUAAGUUGGUUCUAUGAAUUUGUAUUUUUAUAUAAGCUAGAUGUGGAACUCGAUAUAUCAUGACUAUUUGGCUAAAGGAGUUGAUAAAUUUUUGUAAACUCAAGUAGUUGAAUUGAUUACUGUUGUUAAGGAAUUGCAAUUGGUGGUGGAAGUCAAAAUUGUGACUUUUAGCCUAGAGUGUGAUUCGACAAAAAAAUUGUUAAAAAAUUCAAUCUUGAUUAAGAAGACAUUUUUCAGAUCAAACAAAUGAUUUGUUUCGAAUUUGUAUAUGUACAUUUGCAAACAUGGCAGUACAUAUUUUUAUCUAAUAUUGUUAUUUGUAUCCUCAAGCUUUUUGGCAAAUAAUGUUAUCACCUGUUGUAAUGCUAUUAAAAAGGAUUUAAAUGGAUGGAUUAACAACUCAUUUUUUCUCUGAAAAAGACAAAAAAACCAAUGUAUAGGUUUGUAUGUUUUGAAAAGGAUAGAAAAAUGUGCAAGUUUGUAUCUUUUAUUGAUAUUGAAAAAUGUGACAAAUUUUGGUGACUUUCUAAACCUUUUCUAAUUAUUAAAGUGCUAGAAGUAUUAUGACUACUUUUGGUUUAGUCACAAUUAAAGUAUGCUGCUAUUAAAUUGAUAAUGUAGUGUACUUAUUAUCUCUCCUUUUUUUGGUAUUAUUAUGCACACAUAGUAUUGGUUCAAAAAUCUUUGUUUCAUAAACGAAAUUUCUCUUCAUAGCAAAUUUUAAUUGUUUUGAUGCUCAAAUUUUCUCCUAUAUUUACCAAAAAGAUAUAUUGCUUUAUGUUUAACUAAACUUCUAAGGGGCACAGAGCACGGCCAAGAUGCCUCUAGUGUAAAGAAUGACUGAGAAAGAACCACUAGGGACUAUUUUUAAAUUACUCGAAUCCGAUUAUUUUAUUUAUUUGGUAAAGUAUUAGUUGAAUUCAUUGAUUAGGACAUGUAGAACUAAAUAUUUUUGGUUUUUAAAAAGAUAAAUAUAAGAAAGAAAAUGAGUUAUGAGAGUAGUAUUGAGACAUGUGUCGUGUACAAGUGUAUAAAAUAGACAAAAAUUUACUACUAUAUUUUCAGUAACGAUUGCUACACCUGGAGGCAGUUCAAAAGGAAAUCCAUGCCUGCUGAUUGACAGGUUGUUGAAGCCUGUACAAUAAUAAAAUUAAACCUAAUUGCCAGUUAAAUGACCAAAACCCAAUUCCAAGUACUGGAGCAGGGACUCUAGGUGUACAAUGGGUUACUUGAUUUACCCUGUUCCCGAAGAGUUUGUUUGAUCCGAUAUACCCGAAUGGAAUGGUUAUUUCUUUUCACAAAUAAUUAUGAAUUUGUAGACAGAGCAAGUAGGGUCGUAUCUACAGGGAUUGGAUAUAUUUGUUUCUUAAGAAAUCCAAAGUAACACAAGGCGGUGAUUUGUAGGAGCGACGACAAUCAAAUAAAUUCAAAUAAGAAAAUAAAAAUAAAUAACUAACUAGAAAUUAAACCACAAUUCACUGAACUUAGAGUAACAAUAAUUAAAGACCUAAAUCAAUUAAAACAAGAAAACAAUUAAAAAUAAAAUAAAGUAGGCAACUUAAAGUCAAAUGGCAAUUCACUAAAAUCAAGGUAGUAUUAAUUAAGGAUCUAGCCAAGAAGUAACUUCAGCAAUGGUUCACCUAAUUGAUCAUCGAAGCAAAGGCAAUUCCAAUUAUUUACUAAUAAAUAGGUUAUAACUGCCAAACAAGCGAUGACAGUCAACCCCUCUUUACUGUAUCGGUGAUUAAGGUACGCCCAUUAAUCACUGCUCUAAUUAGGAAAUAAUCCUAGGUACGCCCGUAAGAUUUAAUUCCCUAAUUGCCUUACGUAUUAGAGGAGGCCUAUUCUAACCAAAUAACGCACUACUAGGUUAUUUCAGAUUAGCCCGCGUAUCCCCCUGACACAAAUCUAAUCGUGCCAGUUAUCACUAAUUUAAGGCAAUUAAACAAUUACGGAUUUAAUGCCUUAAUUGACAAUAGAUUAUCAAAUCAAUUAAUUAUCCGGAUCCAAGACAAUCAAUUAAUUAAACAAUCAUAAGCACUGUAGCCAGGGAAUAUGCGAAUACCAAUAAAUAAAAGAAAAGGGUAAAAUUAAAUCGAUUUCACAAUUUUAGGCAACUCAAAGCAUCCGUUGUCCCUUGACUAGAGUGAGGGAAUUAAUUCAUGUUUGAUAAACUAAACCCACAAGAAAUUGUAAAGAGAGCCGCGGCCAUUAUCACAAAAAUUGGGAAAUGCAAUUCACUCCAAUCAAGAAAAAAAUAGCAAAGUUACAAGAGGUAGCCCUCUGUUUUUCUUCAAAUGACAUACGAAGAAAGGAAUGUAAAUACUAAAGGUUCAAAGAUGAAGAAAAGUCAAAAGCCAAGAAUGGCUUAGGGGGACUUACGUGGCUUAGGGGUCCUGACAUUCGUAAGUCCUCAAAGCCAUAAAGUAAGUCCAAAAACUGCACUCAAAGACGAAAAACUAAGAAGAAAAGCUAGUACUAGUUUUCUGCCCUCAAUUCUUCCUCUUUAUCUGCGGCGGCUCCUUUUCCUCUCUUUUUUGAGGAAGACUUCGGCCAAAUGACAAUAAAGGGCUUGCGUCUCUUUUGUUCUAAAAAUGCCCCUGCAAGCCUUCUAUUUGAAUUCUUUCCUGAUGAUUAUCAAAUUGGCCUUGAUUGUGAUGUUUUUGUUCUACUCCCUGAAAUAAAUGCAAAUUACAAAAAGUGAAUAGAAUCCAGCAAUUAAUCCACAUUAAGUCGGUUAAUAGGGGAAAUUAAUAAUAAAAUAAAUAGUAAAAUUACAACUUAUCAAUUCCCCCCACACCUAAACCAUGCUUGCCCUCAAGCAUGAUAACAACAAACAAACACCAAUAUCUGACAAUGGCUAUUGCUCCAUCUAUCAUAUUGCCAAGAUACCAAGAAAAACAUAGAUCAAGCCUCAGUGAUCAAGAUCCAAGAAAUAUCACUUCGGUUAGCUUCUAAACUGCAAACUCUUCCAAUUUUAAGUUAACUAAUCUAAGAAAAAGGAAUGACGCACAACAUUUAUCAGCAAAUGGUCCAACUAUUAACCAAAAUCUCAACAUUAAAUUCAUAAAUCGACAAGCUGACUUUUAUUAUACACUAACACAACCUUCAUUUUUUUCACAUUUUUCUACUUUUCUCUUUUUUCUUUCCUUUUUCUCUCCUUUUUUUUUUUUUGCUUUUUUCAAUAGUACAAAAGACUUAGUCGCUAGCCAUUGGAGUCUUUUGACGCGAACUCUGACAUUUGUUAGAUGAAAGAGCCCGGUUACUCAACUUCUAUCGCUACGUGACCACGCACUCAUAGCAAUUACUACUUUUUGAUGCAAGAAUCGACACUUUUAGGUGCAGAUCUCCGGUUACUCAGUAGUAAAUACUAGCGGAGUACAGUCAACUCUUAUUCACAGCCUAAUAACACCAAAAAUUCAAAAUAAAACAAAAAUCAAAAGAAAAUUUGCAGCCGUUAGCCUCAAUUUUAAAUAUGGAGAACUAAGGUUAAUAACCGGACCAAUUCACAUGAAAAUGCCAACAGUCAUUCCCAAUGCCUAGAAGAGUUAACCAAAAAAUAGAAGAGCCAUACAAUCACCGAUAUUCACCAAAGAGAUAUUUUUGGACUCAACCACACUAACUUGAUACAUUCUUAUUAUUAAAACUUGACAAAAGUAGAAAUAGAGGCAACAAUCCAACAUCAAACCUUGGCAUGCACAGGAGAGCUAGACAGAUGAAUGACAAAAAGUAAGCGAAAACUAGACAAAUGACAAAUUAAAAAUAAAAGAAAAAUAUCUGAAAACUAAGAACUAUAAAAACUAACACCAUAACUGCUCCCCCCCACACCUAAAUCCUACAUUGUUCUCAAUGGAAGUAAUAAAGUAAUUAAAGUGAAGAGAACAAUGAAACUUCCCUCUCAAGUGGCGAAGGGGUAGGCGGGAACAGUGGAGGAAAACUGAUGUGGCGAAAGGAUGCACCCAAGUGCUGAGACAUCUUAACUCAAUUCAACCAGCAAAUGCAAAACUCUGUCCACCCAAAAUCUCAACAAAUGGCUCCAGUUGGCCAGUUACCGUUUGAACUCAAAAUCAGCAAUAGCAGUGCAGAAAUUAGACAGUAACAAAUCAAUAAAAAAAACACUGAGCUUUCAAUCAAACAGUCACCCAAAUAGCAACCUAAGUCAGUAGCCAAUUUGUCGCCAACUAAUCAAUUAAAUUCUACCAACGUCCACGAGUAGAUUCAAGUGCCACCGUGCUACCAAAAAUGUCAACAAAUGAAACCAAUAGGCAAAGCAUUCUCCAACUUGUUAACAUAAAUCCAGUCAACACCCAAGGCAGCAAAACAAACCCCAAAGCAAUGCAAUUAGCAACUCCAGCAAUUCAAUAUAAAGCAGUGGCAAAACAAAUCACAACGAGGCCCAAAACAUGAUUGGAACAAUACUACUGCAAAAGUUUGCUAGGGAAUUGAGACAAAUAAAUACCGUCACAUCGUCUUUGAGCGACAAUUCCAAGCAAUAUUUGGGCAACGGAAACCGUGGGUAGCGAUGGGAGGCAAGCGUCGGCGAGGUGAAGUGGUAGUCGCUGGUGGAAGGUGACGGGCGGAGAGAGAGGAGUUGGAGGGCCGCGGCUGCGUGGCUGUGCGACGCUGUGGUGGGUUGCCCUGUAGUGGCAGCGGCGGCGCGCAAGCAGGUCGUCUGCUUGGGCUUGCGAUGCGACCGGUGGAACGACGGCAGCUCGCGGGCGGAGAUGAGCUGGUGAACGACUGUGGUGGCGGCACGAGGAAGGCUGAAGACUUGGGGUAUGGCGGCGGGCGGCGAGGCUUCGAUUGAGCAGGAGGAAGAAACAAAAGAGAAGAAAGAAAGAAAGAAGAAAGAAGAAAGAAAUAAAGAAAGAAAAGAAGAAGAAAGAAAGAAAAGGAAAGAAAAGAAAGAAUAGGGAAAAAAGAAAAAGAAAGAAAAUAGUAUUUGUGUUUUUUUUUUUUUGCUUUUUUGUUUUUUUUUUUCAUUUUAGAAAUUUUUUUUUGUUUUCACGGAAAGACUCCCUUUUUUUUUCUCCUUGUUACUUACUUGAAAAUUUUUUUUUACAUAUAUCAUCUUUUUUUUUAUUAUUAACAAAAUUUAUUUUUGGAAUUCAAAAGUAGAGAUUAACAGGAAAUCAAUAAUCGUUUUUGAGUUUUUUUUUUUGAAUACUUACCUUUCCUGCGAAUGUGACGUGGGCACGUGACGAAGGCAUGGAGUGAAGAGCUCUCCAAGUUACUUGACGCGGACACGUCAUGAGAGCAAGAGAGCUCUCUGACCAUGAGCUCUUCAGGGGACUUGACGCGGGCGCGUCAUGAGGAUCGAAACUCUUUCUAACGAUUCUAAUCGUGAGCUCUCUAUACGUCACGACGUGGGCGCGUCAUGAGGGCAGGAACCCCUUCUGACGAUUCUGACCGUGAGCUCUCCAUGUCUCAUCACGCGGGCGGGUCAUGAUAGAAGAACACCUACAAAUCAGCAAAAACGAAAAUUGAAACCCAAAAUCAGUCAAAUUCAAGGAAAACAUAUUUAAACUAUCACACGAAAUCAAACAAACAAUUAAAAGAAAUAAUUGGUUUGCCUCCCAAUGAGCGCCUUUCUUUAAUGUCUUUUGCUAAACAUUGAACACCACUCUUCAAUCUGGGUGUAACUCAAUUUUCCUGAAAAUCAGUGGCCCUCCUCCAGGAUCCAAAUAGCCUUUGAGUGCAGUCUUCUUUCUUAAUUUUCUACUCCUUUUCACCUCAUACAGUGCUUUCAUUCCCUUAUACUUGUUCUCAGUAAAUUUGAAUUUAUUCCUACAAGCAAACUCAGAAAAUUCUUUCACAGAGGGAUUAAUAGCAUGAAUAGCAAACACAUGGUGAGAGUUAACAGGAUGUUCCAUUGUAUCGAAAAUAUUAAAGUGGACUAAUUCUCCAUCAAAUUCCAUGGACAAUGUACCCUUAUUAACAUCAAUUUUUGUCUGUGCUGUACUCAAAAAGGGUCUACCUAGUAGCAAAGGUGAAGGGUUAGGGGAAUGAUCAUCAUCCAUGUCAAGUACAUAAAAGUCAGCCGGGAAUAUCAAUUAUUAACUUUAACCAGCACAUCCUCUAACAACCCAUCAGGGUAUGCAUUUGUUCGGUUAACUAAUUGAAUUAUUAUUUCGGUUUCUUUUAAUGGACCGAGGUUCAGAGAAGCAUACAUAGAUUUAGGCAUUACGUUGAUCGAUGCUACUAAGUCCAGCAGGGUAUUGCUAAUCAGAGUAUUACCUAUCUUACGUGGGACAGUAAAUCUAUCUGGAUCCCCACACUUUGGUGGGAGCUUUCUUUGGAGAAUUGUUGACACAUUCUCCCCAAGAAUAACUCUUUCAUCUCCCCUCAACCUCCUUCGAUUGACACAUAGGUCCCUCAAAAAUUUUGCAUACUUCGGCACUUGCUUGAUGGCGUCUAGUAAGGGAAUAUUGAUCUCUACCUUGCGAAACACCUCCAGGAUCUUUUUCUCAUUGUCCUGUUUCUUCGACUUUUCCAACCUACAAAGAAAUGGAGGGGGAUUAGUUUUAAUGUCUAUGAUCGGGUCAGGGAGUACCAUUGGAUUUUUGGUGCUUGUAUUCUCUGCCUGAAGUUCUUUCUCAAUCUUUUCUUCGUCAUUAUCCUUUGGAGUCACAAGUUCGGACCCCUGAAUUUCCUUCCCGCUCCUUAAAGUCAUUGCACUUACGUUCUUCAGGUUCAGUUCAGGUUGGGAUGGCAAUCUUCCAUUUACUUGGGACUCCAAACGGUUGAUUUUUGUGGCCAUUUGACUCAUCUGAUUUCUUAUGUCCUGUAUUUCGGAGUCCGUCCUUUGCUGAUUUUGCGUGAUGGUUGCCAUAAGUUGUUUCAUCAUCUCCUCCAAAGAUGGACCAGAGCUUGGGGGCGGAGGUGGUCGGGGUUGAUAUUGUUGCUGGUACCCUGGUUGCUUAUUUGGCACGAAAUUAGACUGCAUGUUCGGUGCAAAGUUGGGCUGUCUAUUUCUUCCAUAAUUGAAAUUCGGGUGGUCCUUCCAGCCGGGAUUGUACGUAUUCGAGUACGGGUCAUAGGGCCAUUUUGGCGCAGGCGCGUGACCAACCAUGUUCACUUGCUCUGCACUUUCUUCCUGAAUCGCUGGGCACAUCUCUGUAGAAUGACUCAUACCAGUGCAAAUUCCGCAUACCUUGGCCUGAGAUGCGUUUCCUACAGCCAGUUGUCUAACAAACGAGGUCGACUCAGUUAGCUGCUACUGGAUAGAGGAUGUCUCUACCUCAUUCACCUUGCGUGUUGGGACAUCCUCCCUCGUACCGAAUUGUUGUGAAUUCUCUGCCAUCCCCUCAAUUAACUCCUGUGCUUCCCGAGGGCUUUUGUUCACCAGUGCCCCUCCACUUGCAGCAUUAAUUAUGCUCCUAUCUCUGAAAAGGAGCCCCUCAUAAAAAUACUGUAUGAGUAACUGCUCACUUAUCUGGUGUUGGGGGCAUUUGCUGCACGACUUCUUGAAUUGCUCCCAAUAUUCAUAGAGUGACUCCCCUGGAUGCUGUUUGAUCCCGCAAAUUUCUUUCCUUAGACUUGCAGUCCUGGACGCAGGAAAAUAUUUAUCCAAAAAUUUUUUCUUUAAUUGGUCCCAUGUGGUGAUGCUACCUGGUGGCAAGUAGUACAAGCAGUCCUUUGCAGAUCCUUCAAGGAAAAGGGGAAUGCCCUCAUUUUUAUUUGUUUUUCUGUAAUGCCCGGAGGUUCAUACUAUUGCACACGACAUCAAACUCAUGCAGAUGCUUAUACGGCUCUUCACCUGGUAAACUAUGAAAAGAGGGUAAAAGAUGAAUCAGACCAGAUUUUAGUUCAAAUGGAGUGUUAUCAUUUAAGGUGGGGAAGGUAAUGCAUAGAGGCUGCUGAUUUAAAAUAGGGGCAGCCAACUCCCUUAAUGUUCGUGCAUUAGCCAUGGUUCCUUCCUUUUGGUCAGAGUCACUUGAAGUGUCACUAAACGAAUCUGUUGGUUCAACUCCUGGCUCAGGUCUCUGAGAUGCAACACUGGACUGCUCCUCUCUGAGCUGUCUGAUUUUCUUUCUCGUUCUACGUGCGAUCUUCUCUACUUCAGGGUCAAAAAUCAAAUCACCUGUACGAGAAAAUCGAGACAUACACUAGAAAAAAAAUACCAGAAAAUUAGAAUAAAAAUUAAUUUAAAAAGAAACAAAUAAUAAUGCUAGUCCCCGGCAACGGCGCCAAAAAUUGACAGGUUAUCGAAACCUGUACAAUAAUAAAAUUAAACCUAAUUUCCAGUUAAAUGACCAAAACCCAAUUCCAAGUACUGGAGCAGGGACUCUAGGUGUGCAAUGGGUUAUUUGAUUCACCCGAUUCCCGAAGAGUUUGCUUGAUCCGAUAUACCCGAAUGGAAUGGUUAUUUCCUUUCAUAAAUAAUUAUGAAUUUGUAGACAGGACAAGUAGGAUCGUAUCCACAGGGACUGGGUAUAUUUGUUUCUUAAAAAAUCCAAAGUAACACAGGGCGGUGAUUUAUAGGAACGACGACAAUCAAAUAAAUUCAAAUAAGAAAAUAAAAAUAAAUAACUAACUAGAAAUUAAACCACAAUUCACUGAACUUAGAGUAACAAUAAUUAAAGGCCUAAAUCAAUUAAAACAAGAAAACAAUUAAAAAUAAAAUAAAGUAGGCAACUAAAAGUCAAAUGGCAAUUCACUAAAAUCAAGGUAGUUUUAAUUAAGGAUCUAGCCAAGAAGUAACUUUAGCAAUGGUUCACCUAAUUGAUCAUCGAAGCAAAGGCAAUUCCAAUUAUUUACUAAUAAAUAUGUUAUAAUUGCCAAACAAGUGAUGGCAGUCAACCCCUCCUUACUGUGUCGGUGAUUAAGGUACGCCCGUUAAUCACUGCUCUAAUUAGGAAAUAAUUCUAGGUACGUCCGUAAGAUUUAAUUCCCUAAUUGCCUUACGUAUUAGAGGAGGCCUAUUCUAACCAAAUAACGCACUACCAGGGUUAUUUCAGAUUAGCCCGCGUAUCCCCCUGACACAAAUCUAAUCGUGCCAGUUAUCACUAAUUUAAGGCAAUUAAACAAUUACGUAUUUAAUGCCUUAAUUGACAAUAGAUUAUCAAAUCAAUUAAUUAUCUGGAUCCAAGACAAUCAAUUAAUUAAACAAUCAUAAGCACUGUAACCAGGGAAUAUGCGAAUACCAAUAAAUAAAAGAAAAGGGUAAAAUUAAAUCGAUUUCACAAUUUUAGGCAACUCAAAGCAUCCGUUAUCCCUUGACUAGAGUGAGGGAAUUAAUUCAUUUUUGAUAAACUAAACCCACAAGAAAUUGUAAAGAGAGCCGCAACCAUUAUCACAAAAAUUGGGAAAUGCAAUUCACUCCAAUCAAGAAAAAAAUAGCAAAGUUACAAGAGGUAGCCCUAUGUUUUUCUUUGAAUGACAUACGAAGAAAGGAAUGUAAAUACUAAAGGUUCAAAGAUGAAGAAAAGUCAAAAGCCAAGAAUGGCUUAGGGAUCCUGACAUUCGUAAGUCCCCAAAGCCAUAAAGUAAGUCCAAAAACUGCACUCAAAGACGAAAAACUAAGAAGAAAAGCUAGUACUAGUUUUCUGCCCUCAAUUCUUCCUCUUUAUCUGCGGCGGCUCCUUUUCCUCUCUUUUUUGAGGAAGACUUCGGCCAAAUGACAAUAAAGGGCUUGCGUCUCUUUUGUUCUAAAAAUGCCCCUGCAAGCCUUCUAUUUGAAUUCUUUCCUGAUGAUUAUCAAAUUGGCCUUGAUUGUGAUGUUUUUGUUCUACUCCCUGAAAUAAAUGCAAAUUACAAAAAGUGAAUAGAAUCCAGCAAUUAAUCCACAUUAAGUCGGUUAAUAGGGGAAAUUAAUAAUAAAAUAAAUAGUAAAAUUGCAACCUAUCACUGAUAGACUUGUUGAUUCAAUAAUUGAUACAAUCAAGAACUAUUAUGUGGUUGAAAGAAUGUGAAGAAAACGAAGGAAAAUUAGGAUUUUUGUGUAAAUUAGAGCUUUGUUGACAGUUUUUUUAGCUCAUAGUUGAUUCUGUAGUGUUGUAAUUGUAGUUUUCGUAUUGAUUUGUGAUAGACUAAAAAAAAAAAAAAGUGACAACGGGAUCAUAUAGAAUAACAACGUGAAAUAAUUAGUUGUAAAGAUGUUAAGAAAAAAUUCGUCGACUGAUUUGGCCAAGGAUUAAUCCUAAGACCUAGUUUUGGAUAACAAGAUAUUAGGAUUCAAAUAAUACAAAUAAAAAGUUCGAGGGAGGAUAGGGUUGGGUAAACUUUCUAAAAUUCUUAGUUCUCCUAUUAAAUUAUUUUUCAUGCAGAAUAGCCUACUAAAUUCAAGGGAGGAUAGGGUUGGGUGAUAAGGAGGGAGGGAUCGUAAGUUAAAAGUUCUAAAUUCAAGACUUCUCACUUAAUCCAAAAAAAAAAAAAAACUACUAAGUUCGUAAAAAUAGUUCAUCUUGGCCAUUUGAUUUAUUCUCGCAGUUAAGAUAGACAGAAGUUAGUCCACAUGAGAUGCAUGCCUAUUCUGAAUGAACAAUUUUAGAUAUUUUCCAUAAAAUUUUCAACCUUAUUAGGCAUCAGCUUCCGGUUUGAUGACCUAUUUCUUUUCUCAAUAUUUUUCCUUUAGAACCCUCAUUCUCCAUUUUUUUUCCAUUUUUCCUAUUUUCCGCCUAUGCCAUUCAUUUUUGCCUUGAUCCAAGAUCUAUGUUACAAGUUGUUUGGCCGCUUCGUAAUUUACUUCUUCUUGGGCCCUAUUUUUAAUUGUUCUCUUUUGUGGACCGCAAACAUCAGUUUUUGUUUCUAAGCUUCUUUCAAUUGAAAGAUGAAAGAUGCUCCUUUUGUUGGAAGCUUCACUGUUUGACUCUGACUUACUUUUAUAUUUGCAAUGCUAUAUAUCAUGCUAUGUAUCAUGCGUACCUUUUUCACUGUAUUUUAAACCACAAAAUGUAUUAGAAAAAACAAAUUGUUAUUUAAUAAUGGUCUAUAUUUCUCUGUAUCAAAGUUAUGAUGAGACAACAAAAGAUGUGAAUAAAUUAAAUCUAGCGAAAGUCAACCACUUUAAGACAAUUUUGAUGAGUAAUUAACACCAUGAAAAUUUUUGUGGACAUAUAUGAGGAAGUCAAAAAAAUUUUUUGGAAAAUAUGUUUUAAUCCAUGAUGUACUUUAAGUUGUACUGAUAACUAAAAUAAUCUCUUCAUAUGUGUGGUUUGUAAUAUAAAUCUUACUUAUAGAAAAAAAAUUUAUAAAUGAGUCAAAAUUUAAAAAAUAAUCAAAAAAUAAUCCAAUGACCAAAUAUAUAUUUAGGAAUAUCCUUUUUUUUUAAACAUCAUGCUUUAUGGUAGAUAAUAGUUGAUGUAUAUCUAUAAAAUUACUCAUUAUUGUAUUUAUAAAAGCUCAUAUUUUCAUCUUUUUACUUUUUAACCUUAUUUAUUUUUUAUUGUUGUUGUAAGCUUCAAAAGUAGGAUAACAUAAGGGUAGUAUUGGAAGAAAUACUUUAUCUUUCUUGCAUUUCCUCCAAGGGAACUAAAAUAUUAUAAGAAAUGUCAAUUCAAGAGCAGUAGAUGAGAUUUUAAAAACCAAAAGGGUGCUGAGUGAUAUUGUGCAAAAUAUUAGGAGAGGUUUCUGAAAUUGUCCCUUAUAAAUUUUAAUGGGGGGUGAAAGUUACCCCGCCCCACCCUACGCCAUGAACCGCACGCAGGCACCUGCUCCAAUUGUCAUCCCUAAUUUCAUCCACUUAAUCUCAAAACAAACUCAUCCAUACCAUUAAUUGCACCCAUCAAAUUCGUGAUUUUAGGCACCUCAAUCCUGUUUAUUCCGAACAAAAAUUUGUUGCAAUAAGGUGACACUUCCACAGCAGGCAAACAAAAGUAACCCCUCCUAGCCAGAACACAGAUUCUAAUCUAAGAAGCCAUAUGCAAUAUUCAUUCCAUCCUAAUGAGAUCGAAUUUUUUUGUGUUUGUUCAGUCUAGCUAUCUGCGGUGUUCUGGUUAAGAAAUGGCACUCAAUUUUUAUUGGAGAUUAAAUAUUUAAGGUUAAUUAAAAAUUUUCUUCUAAUUUAUGUUCAGUUGCACUUUGCCUCCUUGAACUAAAAGAAUGGAGGUUUACUCCCUUUGAAAGGCUCUCUCACCAUAAAUAAAAAUAAAUUAAUGAUGCCAACUUGUUUUAGGCAAAUAUGCCAUUCAUUGAGUUUUUGUAAAAAUAUAAUAUUUUCUUAUUUAUGUACAAUUAGUUUAGAUAAUCUUUUUAUUGGUAAUCCCCAUGCAAGGGGAAGAAAUGCCACCCUAGAUAUUUUAUUGAUUAAUUUUAAAUUUUUGAUGGAGGCAGAUAUGCCCAAUCUCCUAUAAGUGGAAAGCAAGUAAAAAAGAAGUACUACCCUUUACAUAUUUGAAAUGAAAUUAAUCAAAAAACCUAAGCUAAGAUGUUACAAUAGAGCAUCUAAAAGAUGGGAACCCAAGUCUAUCGUUUACAUGAUCUUUUUAGAGUUAUUUGCCUAAAUAACUCCCUGCACAAAAAAAAAUUCCUAAAAUGAUUCAAUUUCAUACUUUAUUCCAGUAACAACUAAGGAUGGCAACGGGAAAGGGUUGGGGUGGGCGGGGGACUCCCGCUUCCCCCGCCCCGUCCUGCUUCCCCCGCGAGGGCACCCGCGGGGUUAAUAAAAAUUUAUUAUAGUUAAAUUUUAAUAAAUAAUCAAGUACUAAAAUAUCAAUACAUCACCAAGUUAUUAUUCAUUGUAAUUUCGCAAUUGAAACUCAUAAAAACAAUCAAACAAAAGUUAUUUGAAUACAAUCUAACAUAAUGAAAUAAAUAUAACUAAAGUAGUUAAGUUUUCACUUUUGGUACAAAUACAAUCACAAUUCAUUAUUGUGUUUUUACUUUUUUUUUUGAGAAAAAAGUGUUACUGUAUUAAGUGUAAUUAGGACAUAUCUUUGAGUAUUCUUCAUAUAACAAAAAAAUCUUUUCUCUCUCGGGUUUCCUGAUUUAGAAAUUUAGGGUUCUCUGGUUCCUCGUGCAUGGCAGCCGCGGCUGCCCCCUCAUCUCAGGGUGGGGGUCUGUCUUCUUCCCCUACGUUCAAGAAGAAGGCGUUUUCUGCUUUGUUCCAAGAUCAGUCGCCGUCGGAGGUGGUGAAGGUCUAGGCGGCUGUCUCCACCCAUCGUGGAGAGCCUGCGGUGGUCUUCAAUGCGGCAGAUAUUGCUGCUGUGGCGUCGCCGUUCCGUUUCACGUUGGUUGGGAAGUUUUCCAAGGGCCGUCCCCUUUUGCCUGAAUUGCGUAAGUUUUUUUCUAUGUUUGAUCUGAAGGACUCAGUGUCUGUUGGUUUAUUAGACGCUAGACAUGUUUUGCUGCGAUUUAAUGGAGAGGCAGAUUUUCUUUGUGUAUGGGCAAGAAAUGUGUGGUAUGUUCAUGGGUGUCCUAUGCGGGUUUUCAAGUGGAGUUCGAAGUUUCAUGUCGAUAGGGAAUCGUCCCUAGUUCCCAUUUGGUUCAAAUUACCCAAGCUUCCUAUCCAUUUGUUUGCCAAGCCUUGUUUGUUUCACAUUGUCUCCUGCCUGGGGAACCCGUUGUUUGUUGAUGCGGCAACAUCGUCUUUUAUUCGUUCGAAUGUGGCGCGGGUGUGUGUGGAGGUGGAUCUACUGAAGUCGCUUCCCUCUAGAGUUUGGGUAGACAUGGGGGAUGGAGAUGGAUUCUGGCAACCAUUGAUCCCUGAGAGCCUUCCAAAGUAUUGCGGUUUUUGCUAUCGUCAUGGGCAUGAGGAGGGCCACUGCCAUGUGAAGUUCCCAGAGAUGCGAGUGUCGAAGGGGCCGACUCAGAAGGUCCUUGGUAGUGCUGUAGAAUUGGAUGAUGGGGGUAAGUUGAUUGCAUCUUCAAAGCCUCCGGUGGGUGCAGGGGAGUCGCUAGAUGCGGCUGAUGGCAGUGGGGCUGCUGUUUUGCCUGGGGUGGAGGAGCCCCCUGUGGCUUUGGAGGGAGCAGUUUCAGGGAUGGGCUCUGAUGCUCCGUUAUUACCUGCGACUGAAGGUGCGGAGCUGGUCACUUUGGCUCAGUCCCAACAACCUGGGCUUGCAGGUGCGGUUGCGCCGCGGGCAUUAGAACGAACAUUAUCAGGCAAGUUGUGCUCGGAUGCCCUGCUGUUGCCUGCGACUGAAGGUGCGAAUGCAGAGCAGAUCUUUUCUGCACAGCUCCAACAGUUCGGGCUUGAACGUACGGUUGUGACGAGGGGUGAGUUAGAAUCGGGUUUGGGAUCAGCUGCUGCACCAGUUUUGACAAUAGAUUUGGGUGUCCUGCCUGCUAAUCCACCGCCGUCCCAGUUUCGGGUGGCGGAGCUGGUGGAGGAGGCAAUUGCUUCCGCUGCUGACAACCUCAUUCACAGGUUGGCUGAUCAAGUAAUCGACAACUCCGAUGAGUCGUCCAUAGGGGCUGACCUGGAAUUGGGGGAGCUUGGGGGAGGUGGUCUUGAGCUAGCGGGUUCAGUGGAGCAGGUCAGGGUGGAGGUGAGGGAGCAGCAGGGGGCUAUGGUCGCUAACCUUAAUCUUUCUCCUCGCAAGGCGGAUGUUAGGGAUGCGGUGCAGACGCGGUUGGAUGCUUUGAAAAACCCGGAGGAGUGGCAUACGGUGGUGAGCCGUCGCAAUAGGAGAAAAUGUGAUUCACCCCCCUUACUUUCUACGACCACGAUCAUGAUUAAGGCUAUGUUUUGGAACGUCAGAGGAGUGGAUAAUGCUCUCACCAUUGCACGUUUAAGGAAGUUGAAGCGGAUGCAUCAGGUUUCUUUGCUAGCGAUGUGCGAACCAAAGGCGGGUCGCGAGCGGCUUGAUUUUAUUCGGAAUAGGCUGGGUUUUCGUCAUGCUAUCUCCAACGAUGAGAGUCGGAUUUGGGUGACGUAUGGGCAAGACUAUAGGUGUGAUUUGUUGGUUGCCUCACAGCAGUUCUUGGCGUUGGAGGUUACACAUGCUGUUUUCCGUUGCUCUGUUGUAGCGGUCUUUGUCCAUGCGUCGUGUGCCUCUCUUGAUAGGGAGGUGAUGUGGCAACAGUUAGGAGAGGUGUGCCCUCAAGGGAUGCCGGCAAUUUUUUUAGGGGAUUUUAACGUCAUUGUCGGGGCGAAUGAAAAGAAAGAGGGUCGCCCAUUUCGUGCUAGGGAGUCGGAGCCUUUCCUGAGUUUCAUGGAGGGUGCUGAGUUAACAGACUUAGGGUUCUUUGGGUCUCAGUUCACCUGGUGCAAUAAUCGUUGGGGCAGAGCCAGGGUUUGGAAACGCCUGGACAGGGUACUCGUUAACCAGGAUUGGUCGAGUUUAGGGGUGAACACGACGGUGGCUCAUUUGAAUAGGGUUGCCUCUGAUCAUUCCCCCUUGUUAUUGUCUUGUUCUUUGGCCAUGGGUGGGGCGCCUAAGAGUUUUCGUUUCUUGGACGUUUGGAGGGCACAUGCUGAUUUUCAUAAUAUAGUUCGUCAAGCGUGGGAGGUGGAGUGUGAUGGGCGGCCCAUUCGGGUUCUACUUGCGAAGUUAAAGGCGGUCAAGCAGGCUUUGCGUACAUGGAAUAAGGAGACAUUUGGCAACAUUUUUGACCGUGUUAAGGAAGAUGAGGCAACAGUGUUGGCACUGGAACGCUCUUUGGAGGAAUGUCCCUCGGGGGAGGGUGAAUUCCAGCUCCUCCGGGCGCAAGGGGCGCCCAAGAUGUCCCUGUUACGGGAGGCCGUUUACUGGCAUCAGAAGGCACGGCUUCGGUGGCUUAGGGAAGGCGAUGCCAAUUCCAAAUUCUUCCAUGCGCAAGUAAAGCAGCGGAGGGCUCGGUCUUUCAUCCAUCGGAUGAAGGAUACGAAUGGGGUAUGGACGGAAGAGCCCUCCAGGAUUGAAGAGUUGGCGACCACUUUCUUUGCGGACAUUUUGUCGCAACCAGGACAUGGGCCGAUGGAUCUUUCGAUGCUAGAGGUUAUACCUUCGGUUAUCACUGUGCAAGAUAACAUGGAGCUUCAGCAGUUUCCGACGGAGGAGGAAGUCAAGGCUGUGGUUUUUCAACUAGAUGGUGGUAGUAGUCCGAGUCCGGAUGGUUUCACAGGAUCAUUCUUCACUUCAUGUUGGGAUAUUGUGAAGGAGGAGGUCUAUCGGGUUGUUUGUGAUUUUUUUGCAGGUGCAGAGCUGUCUUGGGGGUACACUGCUACGUGGUUGGCCCUGAUCCCUAAGACUCCUGGGCCGUCAUCCUUCUCAGACUUUUGCCCUAUCAGCUUGUGUAACUUUGUUAAUAAAAUUACAUCUGGUCUGUUGGCGCGACGUUUGGAGCGUGUUUUGCCAUGACUUAUCUCGCAACAGCAGAGUGGCUUUGUGAAGAGUCGCCAGAUAUCGGAUAACAUACUUUUGGCCUUAGAGAUGUGUUCAGCCUUGGGGAAGAAGGUACGGGGAUCCAAUGUUGUCCUUAAAUUGGACAUGGCCAAGGCAUAUGAUCGGGUAUCGUGGAAUUUCUUGAUCCAGGUCAUGCGUAGGUUUGGGUUUGGGGAGCAAUGGCUGGAUAUGGUUUGGAGGUUAAUUUCUUCGUGCCACUUCUCAGUAUUGGUUAACGGAAAGUCGUGUGGUUUUUUCCAUUCGUCUCGGGGUCUACGGCAAGGGGACCCAUUAUCCCCGGCUUUAUUUAUUAUAGCGGCUGAGGUGUUGUCUAGAAGCUUGAAUGAGUUACCGGGGGAGUCGAGGUUUGCUCCAUUCUUCGUGACGCGGGAAUGCCCUUCUCUCACGCAUCUUAACGGUGGUAAGCGGUCCCUUGGGUGUGUCAUGCGGGUGCUGGAGGGCUAUCAGGGGGUGUCUGGGCAGUUGGUGAAUGUUGCAAAGAGCUGUUUUCUGGUAGAUAGGAGGGUCUCGUUGGUCCGUCGGAGGUUAAUUGAGCAGGUCACUAGGUUCCCUGCUAAGACUUUGCUAGUAACCUAUUUGGGUUGCCCAUUGUUUGGGGGGAGAAGAGUGAGGUCUUUAUUCGCUGAGUUACUCUCCAAAGUAUCUCACCGAAUUUCGUCUUGGCAGGGCCGAUGGUUAUCAAUGAGUGCGCGGGCAUUGCUUAUUAAGCAUGUAUUUUCGUCCAUGCCGAUUCAUAUGCUGGCAGUUUUGGAACCUCCAAGGGGGAUCAUCUCUGACCUCGAGCGGAUGCUUGCUAGAUUCUUUUGGGGCGAAUCGGAAUUUGGUGCCAAACGUCAUUGGGCGAUGUGGGAGAAGCUUUGCUUCCCGGAGGAGGAAAGGGGGGUUGGGUUUCGGUCCCUCCAGGCGGUCGUUGCGACGUUCUCCUGUAAAUUAUGGUGGAUGUUUCGGUGUGGUCAAUCUCUUUGGGCGAAAUUUAUGAGAGCACGAUAUUUUGGGUCUCGACACCCGAAUCAAGCUCCGUUUCCUGCUCAGCUGUCUGCUAGUUGCAAGCGUAUGCUUGGGGUCCGGUCGACGAUGGAGCAAUGGUUAAAGUUGGAUCUUUCUAGGGGAGAGGUGGCUUUUUGAUGGGACAACUGGAGUGGUUUGGGCCCUUUGGCAUGGCGGUAUCCUGAUUUGGCGUCAAAUGCAAUGGUCUCGGAUUUUCUACGGGAGGGUCAAUGGGACUACUUGGCUUUAGCGGGGUUCCCCUCGGAGAUUAUAGAGAUGGUUCAAGGGUCCUUCUUUUGUUUUGGAUCGGACCCGAUGCUUUGGUCUGGAGCUUGGAUCCCUCAGGGGUUUUUCGUUGAGGUCUGCUUAUCAGCUUGUUCGCCCGGCUCGGGCGCGCUCCUGGGUGUGUUCCUAUAUUUGGCAGUCGUCCGUUCCGCGGAAAUUUUCCUUCUUCAUGUGGCGUUUACUAAAUGGCCAUCUGCCAGUGGAUGAUGUGCUGCGGAAAUUCCAGAUUCAUGGUCCUUCUAAGUGUCAUUGUUGCUCGCCGGCCCAAGGUGAAACGUUGCAGCAUGUGUUCUCUACUGGUCAAUUGGCGGGUGUGACGACUUGGAUGUUCUUUGAGCGCUCCUUAGGAGUGUCUGUACGAGGUGUGGCCGUUAGGUCUCGAUGUUCUGAUUGGUGGAUGUCCCCUGUUAAAGGGAAGGCGCUCUGCUGGGUGUCCCGGAUUCUUCCGGUCCUAAUUCUAUGGUUCUUAUGGUGUGCCAGGAAUGCAUCCACGUUUGAGGGGUGCAAGGUUUCUGGGUUUCAGGUUCGGGUUUCUAUCUGUUCCGAAUUGUAAAGGUUAGCUCAAAUCCACUUUCCAGGGAUCGCGCGUUUGCCUUGCCAGUGGGAGGGGUUCCUAGAGGUUUUAUCUUCGGCCAGAAGGGUGUUAGUAGCUAAGGCGGUGAGGUGGACUUUCCCUGUGGAGGGUUCUUUUAAGCUUAACACUGACGGUUGUUCUAUGGUCGGUGGUAGUGGGGGCGGUGGGGUGAUUAGGGAUUCGAGGGGAAAACUCAUUAUUGCUUUUGCGGAUUCUUUUGGCUCUCUGGAUUCCCUGCAAGCUGAGGCUCGGGCUCUCUUGUUAGGGCUUCAGCUGGGGUACAGCUUAGGGAUUUCGCAGAUGUUUGUUGAAUCUGAUUGCUUGGUCUUAGUCAAUUGUCUAAAGGGGGUUUGGGGGGUUCCUGCGGUGAUUUGGCCAGUUGUUCGUGCUGUUCGUCUGGUUACUUCUGCUGGCCAUCAGUUUGGUCAUUGCUACUGGGAGGGGAACAUGGUGGCGGACUCGCUCGCAACGUUUGGGGUGGAGUGUGGCUCUCGAUCUAUUUUCAUGUCAGCGUCUCAGUUGCCCUUGCGCUCCAGGGGGCUUUUAUCUCUGGACAUGCAGAAUUUUUGUAGUUUUCGUUUUUCUCUUAGGAUGUAGGGAUUUGGAUGAUUCCUUGGCAUUGUGUUCUGGUUUAUGAAUAAAACAGGUUUUUUUUUUAUAAAAUAAAAAAAAUAAAAAAAAUAAAUUCUAUUAGUAGACAUAUAUAAUUAUUAGUAUAAUUGAUAAUAUCAAUUAUAUUGCAUAUAUUAAUAUACAUUAUAUAAUACAUAUAACUAAUAAUAUCAUUAUCAUAAGUUUAUAACUAAUUAAAUUAAAUAUUAUAUAUAUAAUUAUAUACAUAUAUAUUUUUUUUUUUUUGCGGGUGGCGGGGCAGAGGUAUAAUUCCCCGCCCCCGUUUCUAAAUGGGGGGAAAAAUUCCCCCCACCCCCGCCCCUGCCCCAACUCCUGCCACAAGAGCCCUCCGCAAGGCGGGUGCCCGCGCAUUGCCAUCCUUAGUAACAACCUUUUCUGUUAUCCAUUCGAUCAAAUUCAAAUGGAAAUGAGAAAAAGGGCAAAACCUUUCAUUAGCCAUUAAUAUGGCCCAAAAAUCUCCUACAUGACUAUAAUACUCUAUUCUGAAUCUAUCUUUUCCUUUUUGACUAUAAUACUCUUUCUGCCUUUACUUGUCACUGUACUAUCCAAAAAAGUCUUGAAUACUUAACAUAAAAUUGACAAUAUUUCCAAAUAUGAGAGCAAAAGUUUUGAAUAAUUAACAUAACCCUGACGAUAUUUCCAAAGAUGAGAGCAAAAUCUAAAAUUUGACCGUUCAUCUCCAUUCCAAUUGCAGUAAUUUUCUCUUUGUAAUGCUUUACUUCUUAUUAAAAAAAAGGAAAAUAAGGAAAAACUCACUACAAAUCUAGGGAAAUUGGAAUUAUACCAACACGAAAGCAAAGUCUAAAAUUUUGAUUGUUCAUCUCCAUUCCAGUUGUGGUGAUUUUCUCUUUUUGAUGCUCUCUUUCCUAUUAAAAAAAAAAAAGAAAAAGCUCACUACAAAUCUAGCAAUAUUGAAAUUAUUAGUAUGUUUGUACAAAACUCUCGAUCACUUGUUCAUUCAAUUAAUUCUUUCCGAAGUUUUAGUUUUGAUUUUGUCAUACUGCAUUGAAUGGGAACUCAUUGUGCAUAUGGCUAUAUGGGGGGAAUAGCAUGUAGGGCUGAGGAAAGGUGUCUCCAUCACUCUGUUCAUUCAAUUAAUUCUUUCCGAAGUUUUAGUUUUGAUUUUAGGUUGGUUCCUAUUAGGGAUAAGGUCAGAAGAUGAGAUUAGUAAUAAAAUUUGGAGUUGAAUCAUUGUAUGAAUAUUUUUUGAAAAAAAAUGGUUAUUUUGGCAAAAAACUCAUUUUUUUAAUUUAUUCUAAUAUCCGACAAAAAAGAAUACUUUUUAAAUCAUGCAUUUUUCCUUAUUUAAUAUAUUUAUUAUAUUUCUUUAUUGAAACAAAAUUUAUACAAUAAAACAAAAGCUUGAACGCACUGAUCCUUUUCAUUCUUUUUUUAUUUGUCAAUAACCAAAUAAAUUUGCAGAAAAAGUUAAAAAAAAGGGUAUUUAAACAAAGAAAUCUACAAUAAGCUGGCAAGAUGUAAUGAAUUUUAUUUAAAAUAUGUAAUUGUAACAUGUCUAAGGUUGUGCCUUACUAUAUUCAAAGUAAUAAAGAGGUAAAAAGCUAAAAAUCAUUAUAGAAACAAGUAGAAAACAUUUUGCAUAUGACAGAGUAGGUGCAUGUUGUGUUACUAUUAAUUGUGAAAGAGUCAUCUAAGGGUGCCAUGGGUACUCGUUAAAAUAUACUUAAGAUGUUCGAAUUUUGAAAAAGUAAAAUUAAUUAAAAAAAGUAUAUAAAUAUAAGAAAUGAUAAUAAAUUUUAGUAUGUGUGUGUAUAUAUAUCUAACUAUAUAAAAGUGGGUGUUGCUUGAAUGAACAAUAAAAAAGUGUCUUGGUUGGUUAUUUGGCCAUUGGUCAAUUUGUUUGCCCUAUUAUGGUCCAUUUGCUCGGUGUCAUGGAUUUGGAGGUAUUGCUUUAGCCUUAGGGGUCCGUUUGUUUAAGGUGAAAAUAUUUUCCAGGAAAAUAUUUUUCUAAUUUCCCGUGUUUGGUUGCACAAAAGUUACUGAAAACAUUUUCUUAUGUAAAAUAUUUUCACUCAUCUUAUGGAAAACAACUUCCCUUCCAAACUUACUGAAGUUGUUUUCCGAAAUGCAUGCAUCUCACCUGUAAUAUGUUCCAAACUUACUGAAAACAUCUUGUAGUAUGUUUUUUUUUUUUUUUAGUGUAAACAGGAAGACUCGAACCCAAGAUCUUUUCCUUACACUCCCUCCCCCGUGCCACCCAACCCAACCCUCCCCCUAGUAUAUUCAAAAUAAAAAAGAAACCUCAUCCUGCUCAUCCUAUGCUAGUAAUUAAUUAUGUAUAAUAGGGACAUUUUUUUCUAGAGAAACUUUCAGCAGUGAGAGUGCAAGAUAUAUGUCACAAUAAGCAUUGCAUGUGAUUGAUAUUUGAUACUAAAUGACCAACAAUUUGUUUAUUGCUUAAGGAGAUAUUUUUUAUUCAUAUAUACAUUUUUCCAAGAUUUUUUAAAGUUAAACAAUGAGAUAAAUUUUCUUAUUUUGCAUGGGAAGAAGUAUGUAGUUAUAAUAUGUAGAAAGUAAAGAUAGAGAUAAAAGUGAAAAUAUUUCAAAAGUUAAACAAACACCAAAAAAAUGAAGUAAGAAAAUAUUUUCAAUAAGCUAACCAAACGCCUGAAAAUGAUGAAAGGGAAAUGAUUUUCAUGGAAAAUUACUUCCACGGAAAAUAUUUUCCCAAGGAAAAUAUUUUAUUUCCAAACAAACAGACCCUGAAAAUGUUUCCUAUUUUCCGCCUAUGUCAUUCAUUUUUGCCUUGAUCCAAGAUCUAUGUUACAAGUUGUUUGGCUGCUUCGUAAUUUACUUCUUCUUUGGCCCUAUUUUUUAUUGUUCUCUUUUGUGGACCGCAAACAUCAGUUUUUGUUUCUAAGCUCCUUUUGUUAGAAGCUUCACUGUUUGACUAAUUGACUCUGACUUACUUUUAUAUUUGCAAUGCUAUAUAUCAUGUGUACCUUUUUUGCCUUGUAUUGUAUUAUGGCAUUGCCUAUUCUCUGGUACUUUUUUUGCCCCUUUCUUUUCCCUUUCACUAAUUGUUUAUGCUUCUGCUUCCCUUCCCCUGGCCAAUCGGUAAUUUUGUUACCCGCUAUUGUGCUACAUUUUCUGUGGAGCGUGGAGCAGGUAAAAUUUUCUGUCUUUUUGUUUGCCACUUACAGUGCCGCCUUUGCCCCUGCAUUAAAUGCUCAUGGUACUUCCAAAAAAAAAAAAAACACAUCCGACUAAACUGCCCGCUUCUUAAUAUUUUUGAUUUGUUUUUGUCAUUUGCAAACUUAUUAGAAAGAUAUGCAGUUAUAGAUUUUUCUUUUUGUUAAUGAUGCUGUUUGUUGAUUUAUUUUUUUUUAUCAAUUUUACCUUUUUAUUUAUUUACUCUUUUGCAGAAUAACAAAUUGCUGUCUCUCUGCUAUUUUAUGUCCCUUAGUAUCUUUUUUCUUUAUACUGCUUUUUGCAGUACUUUGUUUUUUGCUUUUAUUGUUUUCUUUUGUUUCCAAAACUUCUUUCUCAAGUGAGUUGCAUUUCUUUUGCUUAUUCUCAAGAAGUCUAUGUUGUAUAUUAUGCUUAUUUUAUUUGUUGAUAUUUCCCUUCUUUGUUCACUUGUUUGUUCUGGAAAUUUUUCUUAGACCUAGCAUCAAUGAUCCAUUCUUUAGGUCCUCCAUGUGCAUGCUCAUAAUUUUCCUUUUAUAUUUUCUAUAAUUUACUAGUUUCUUUUAUAUUCUUAGAAUUUGUCUUUCUCAUUUUCAAAUUUUUUUUUCAUGUUUUCAAUAUUUUAAUUUUUUAAUUAAUUUCGUAAUUCCAAUAGUUCUUCGAAUGUUUGGUUUAUGAACCACACGCAUAUAUAUAAAAGUAUAUAAAAGGGUGAAUGCUUUGCAUGAAUAGGCAAAUAACUACUUUAGUUGAUUGCUGUAUCUUUGGCUAAUUUAUUUGAAAUUGUACUAACCAAUGACGGUUACAAAAUAUACCAUGUAAUGUAAAUUCUAUGUGGAACAAUGAGUUUCAACUUAUAUAGACAUUUAUAUGUAUUCAUAAAGAAAAUAAAACAAUAUAUAUCCAUAAAAAAAUCCAAAGAAGUUUUGAUGUAAUCAUUGCUACUUUGGCUGGCUAAAGCAAAGAAAAUGUUGUUUCUACCAAAUUUAGAUUAUUUUCUUAGCCCUCUUCUUAGCAUUUGCUCUUGGUAUACCUUGAGCUUUUAGCUUUAUAUUUUAUUACACAAUUAUAAUCAUGAGUAUUUUAAUUAUAUUGUAAAAACACUAUUUUUUUGCCUCUUUUAUACAAUCAUAUCCACCGGUUCAUCUUUAUUCAAGUACAAUUACUAUUUAAAACAAAUAAAAACCUAAUAUAUCCAUCUUACUUUAUAACUAACUAUUAUUUUAUUUGUCCAUUACAGUUUCUCCAAUCAAUGCAUUCUUGAUGCAGUAUGAUGAACCACAAUGAUACAUUGGUAUUCAUUUUAUAAAAUUUCCCUAAUUUACAUCAAUUUUUCUCCAAAACACAUUUAACACGUAUUUAGCUCUUCAUUGCAGGUCAUACCACCAAAAUUUAUACAUUACUUGGAACCACACAUAAGAAGAAGAGCAAUUUUCAAAGUUGGAAACAAAAUAUGGUUUCUAAAACUAGAUGAAAAUCCUCAAAACUCUGGAUGAAAAAUAUUCAUUGACGAUCACAAUCUGCAGCCAAAUUCACUAAUAUAUUUUUCUGCAUUGGAGUGAUGACAUUUAGAGUUCAAAUUUUCAACCCAAAUCACUACACUAGCUUCUACGAAUGGAAUAUCAUCCCUAUUGAAAGCACAUAUGCAAAAGCAAAUGGUAACAUAAUUAAUAAUAAAAUAUAUCCACAGAGUUCACCAAUACAACUUCCUAUUUAUUUAUUUAUUUAACAAUUGCAGGCAUUUUUUCUGCAAGAGAAAGUUUCCUCAUAAAGCUCACAUUUUAUGUAGUCAUCAAGCCCACGGACAUGGAAAUUUUAGUAAGCCAAAUUUUUUUAAACACAUAUUAACCCAAAGCCAUACAAAAAAAUUGCACAUAAAUUUACUUUAGCCAUAAGAUACUGCAAAUAUAUUGCCAAACAAAAACAAUAUAAUCAUCUUCUAUUACCAAUACAAAUGUUGGAACAUCAAAGUUGAAGAUAAAUUUUUAACCUAUGAAUAGAAAAAAAUGCUAUGAUACCAUAUUAUUUGACCAUGCUAUACUCUCAUAAUUACCCACUUAGGCAUAAAUGAAUAUUGAAUGCACAGAUUCGAUAAUGAACUUGUAAAAGUUGCUCCAACAUAAAAUAACUAUAAAGUUAUGCCUUUCAACCUUUAAUACUAUUCCCAUAUUCUCCAAUUUCAUAACUAUACAUACACUACUAUAUUUUUACUUCAACAUUAAAUCACAUUCUAUAUGAUAACCUACCAACAAUUCUUUCCAAUUACCCUCAUUCAAUAAAAACUAACUACCUCGCAAUUAUUUUACAUAUUGUAAAAUAUUUUUCUGCAUCAAUUCAUACAUCACAUUACACAAAAAAAAAAAAAAAAAAAUCAGCACACAAAUGCACUAUUAACACGGGUCAGGAAUUGCGCAGGGCCCCCUGACUAGUAUAUAUAUAAUAUAGUAGGCUGAAUGAAAUUUAGGCGUGUUAGUUGGGUAUCCAUUAGAAAAACCCAUUGUAAAAUGACAAUUAUGACUCUUGAUUGAACAUUUGUUGUUGGAAUAUGUUUUACAUAGCUAACUUCAUUUGUUUGGGCAACUACACGCUCGAAACAAAAUGUAAUGUGCCUUUAAGAUUCUUUUCUAUUGCUGAAGUUAGUGUGGAAAAUGAAAAGAAAUAUUAUUGUAAGUUAAGAAAAUAUCAUGAUUGACGUAACAUUUUUCUAAUGUGAAAGUAGAAUGAAAGGAAGAAAUAUUCAAUAAAUAAGAUAAUAGCCAUUAACUUCGUCCCACAUUGCCUUAAUAUUUUGAAAGCUACAGAACAACCUAUACAAAGUUUAGAGUUUUUAUUUUUAUUUUUAUUUUUUGGUCAAUCGUCAUCCCUACCCCUACUCUAUCCUAAUCUAACUAAGGGGAGGCCCAACUAGGCUUAUGGGGACCAAUGGGGACAGAACCAUUGCCCCCUUUGAAACUAUUGGAAUUUUUUACAGUUACCUUCUCCAUUUCUACAAUGAAACCUUGAAAGAAAGUAUAAUAAUAGUACUAUUUGUAAGUCCUUUCUAAUUAACCUUAUUUUGCUUAAUAUUGAACUCCACUUAUGUGUCUAAGCAUAUAAAUUACAAGCAAAUUGAAAAUCAUUGGAUCGUUUGGCCAAAUACACAUUAAUUAUCUAUUGUAUAUAUGAAUGUACAUCUCAUAGAUUUAUGCAUAAUAUUAACUAUUGUAUAAUUUUAUACCAUUAGAUGACCCGAUAACUAUUAAAUGCAUAAUAAAUGACAACCUAUACACCAUUCUUAUUUUAUUUUGGCAAUAUUGAAUAAAUUGCUUCAUGUCUAUUAACCUUAUGAGAAACAUUUAGUUGAGCUAAAAGUUCACAAACCACAAGUUGUAAAUUUAAUAUAAAUUAUUGUAUCCUAUGACCGAAGAUCCUGGCUUAGCCACCGCCCCUAGAGGAAUGUUAUUUUAUAAAAAUAAAAUUCUACCCCAACCUUUAUAUGGUGGAAUCUUUCAAAGAGGUAAACUGUGAAUUUUUUUUAUUCAUAGAGGCAAAGUGCAAUUUUUUUUAUGCUCUUUGAUUUUAGAAUCUUUGCUCAUGCCACUCAUGGUCUCUCAUCCUUUAGGUUUUGGACUAUUCCCAAUGGAGUUAAAUAAAAAAAAAUUCAAUAACCUAGCUGACUAUAUAUAAAUGUCACUAACCACUAAGCUAUACUCGUUAGUCGUUAAGAGUUUAUUUUUUCAUAACAAGUGAAGUUAAAACAUCUAAAUAUAGGGGAUAAAAUAUAUGUCAAUGUCUGCAAUAAUUAUGUGAAUCCUAGUUUUAUUUAGCAAUGGUUGUUGACUUUGCAGUACCAUUCCACACUUUGCAGGAAUCUAAAUAUUUUGGAUGUUUGAAGAAAGUUAAGCUGAAAGCUCCAAAACCAUUGGAUGGUCAAAUGUUGAAAUCACAAGUACGUUAAAAAUAAUUCUGGAUCUCUGACUUUAGCCAUUCCACUGUAGAAUGAUGUUCACAUUUAAAAGCAGAGGUUUGUAUAGCAAAGUAAACAUUCAUCUAUGCAAGCAUAGCUCAAAAUUCCAUAGCAGAAUAAAAUUCUUAUAUCAGUUCCUACACUUCAAAGAUGAAGAAGACAAAGGUUGUUUUUGUUCCAUCACCAGGCAUAGGUCACCUAAUAUCCACAGUUGAGCUCUCCAAGCGCUUAACUGAAAGAGAUGAUCAGCUAUCAAUAUUUGUUCUGGUCAUAAGCUCACCUGUUGGCCCAGACUUGGAGUCCUACACUCAACAAGUGGCUGCUUCAAACACUGGUAUUCAAUUCAUCAACAUUCCUCGAGUAGAUCCGAAUCUACCACAGGUCUGGAGCUCCCCAGAAAACCUUUAUGCUCUCUAUUUGGAAAGCCAUAAAUCCCAUGUCAAAACAGCAAUAAUUGAUCAAGUACUAGUAUCAGAAUCCAUCACUUCUCUUGCCGGGAUAGUUGUUGAUCUAUUCUGUAGUUCGAUGGUUGAUGUAGCGAAUGAGCUUGGAGUUCCUUCAUAUGUGUUCUUCCCCUCUGGCUGUGCCUAUCUUGGCUUCAUGUUUUAUCUUCCAAUUCACUAUAGCCAAUAUGGAAGAGAGUUCGAGACUUCAGAUUCUGAUUCAAUUAUUCCAACUUAUUCUCACCCUAUACCUUCAAAGGUUAUACCUUCUUAUGCAUUUAACAAGCAUGGUGGCUAUUCCUCAUUCGUAAAACAUGCUACCAAGUUCAAGGAGACAAAAGGACUCAUCAUAAACACGUUUGCAGAAUUAGAACCUCAUGCUGUGGAUCAAUUGAAAUUCGAUGCUGAAACACCGCCAAUCUACACGGUUGGACCCCUGCUCGACCUGGAGGGCAGAAAGCGAGAGCCUGAUCACGAAAAAAUAAUAAAAUGGCUAGAUGAUCAGCCUCCAUCAUCAGUUAUAUUUCUCUGUUUUGGAAGCAUGGGUACUUUUGAGCCUGACCAGUUAGCAGAAAUGGCACUUGCACUCGAGCGGAGUGGAUACAGAUUCUUGUGGUCAGUCCGGUUAUCAAAGGCCUAUACAAAAGGGACAGGUGAACAUUCCAAUAUUUCUGAGAUGUUGCCGCAAGGUUUCUUAGAACGCGUCGAAAAUCGAGGAUUGGUGAGUAGUUGGGCACCACAAAUGGAGGUGCUGGCUCAUGAAGCAGUUGGGGGAUUUGUAUCUCAUUGUGGCUGGAACUCUAUACUAGAAAGCCUGUGGCAUGGGGUGCCUGUUGCAACAUGGCCUGUAUAUGCUGAGCAACAAAUCAAUGCGUUCGAGUUGGUAAGAGAAUUGGAACUGGCUAUGGACUUGAAAAUGGAUUAUCGAAUGGAAAAUGCACAGAAUCUUGUAGUGGCUGAGGAAAUCGAGAAAGCUAUCAGAUGCUUGAUGGACACAGAGAAUCCGACAAGAAAAAGAGUUCAAGAAAUGAAGGAGAUGAGCAGAAAGGCCAUUGAAAAUGGGGGUUCUUCAUUCAUUUCACUUGGACGUUUGAUUGAAGAUAUACACAUCAACAUUGGAAAAGAUAAGGGAAGUUUCUAAGUUUUUUCAGUUCUUAUUGUCACUUGAUCAUCAAUCAACAGAUGAAGGGAAGUUUCUUCAACUUCCUUUCUUUUUGCUUUAUUGGUUUAAUAUUAGUUCUUUCUCAAUCCAUCUAAUUGGGACCACGGCCAGGAACGGUUGUACCUCGGUUUUAUGCAUUUUGCACAUCGCAUAAUUUUGUUUGCACACGGCGUAACAUUUUUUGCACAACGUAUAAUUUUAUAAUAAUUUUUUAUUAGCCCCACACACGUUGUUAAAAACGAGAUAUAAGAAAUGAACUAGAUCGUACAAUUUUUUUGGACCAAAUCUUGACCGUGAACAGCUAUGACCGCUCCUGCCUCUCAUUCAUCUAAUUGUCACAUUUGUGUGGUAAACACAAAUUAGUAUUGUUUUUCAUCCUUUAUGUGGUCAUACUUAUGCUUUCAAAUCUAUUUUUGCUUUUGUAAACCUUUCCAGUUAAAUACUUUUCAUUUUUCAUUUUUCAUUUUUUCCGCUAAAUAUUAUAAACUUGGUGGUUCAUAUGUCUCUUCUAAGAUUUGUAAGUAAAAUUUUCUCCAUAAUUAUCUUUUUGAUUUCAUAUGGUGAUCAUUAUGCUGUUACUCUCAAUUGGAAUGAAAAUUGAGAUUGUCCCGAAGCUUGUAGUUCACUUGUUAUACAUCUUAUGUUUACUACUUAUUUCGUAUAUAUAAAAUCAAUACUAUACAUUUGUUAUACAUCUUAAGUUUGAUUUCCUAUCAACCCGGUUUCGAACCUCUUGUGGAACAUUCAUUGUCAUAUAAGAUUUCUCCAGUGCAUCUUACCCUUCUGUGUGGUUGGCGGGUUAUUAUAUGAGAUGAAAUUUAUCUAAUGCGUACUCUCAAAUAGUAAUUGCCGUGGUAAAAAAAAAAAAAAAAAAAAACUCUACACUGGGCCUCACACAUCAAAGUUUUAAAAAAUUGGCCUAGGUCAUGGUCAAGAACUUUCCCACAUUGCGCCUUCUUCCCAGUUCCCAGAGUCGUGUCAAAUAAAAAAAGAAAUGAGAGUCGUGUCAAGUUUUUUCUCUUUUACUUUUUGAUACGAGUCAUGUCACGAGUGAAAGUUCUUCAAUGAAUUAAUUAUUGAAUCUAAUAUGACUAGAUCUAAGUUUGGCCGCCAGUCACUGGCAAUGUCCAAUAAUAAAAAAUGAACUUCAAGAUGACUUUCUUUCCCCGAUUGAGAACUUUGAGGAACAAUUUAAAAUUCAUUCAAAUCGUUCUAAUUAUUUAAAUUACUUAAUAGACAUUUAAAUUUAUAAUAUAUCAACUAUUAAAAUUUAUUUUAAAUAUUAGAAUAAUUUAUAAUUUAUAAAUUUAAAUAUCUCCUAAAUAAUAUUAAACAACUAGAGAAAUUUAAAAGGAUCUCAAAUUUUUUGACAAAUCCCUCAAUCAAAAAAAUAGUUCGAUAGUUUCGACACUCUUCAACACAUAUACAUAAAGAUCGACUCAGAGACUACAAUAUGUGUUUAUAAAAAGGUGAGUUAAAAAAUGUAUUUAUAAUCAAGCAAAAUAUUAUUUGAAAAAAUUUGCUUUUUAAACACCGACUUUGAAAAAUUUGCUGUAUGUAAGAUGGUUGGGAAUAUAAAAAAGUGAGUUGAAAAAUGUGCUUAUAAUCAAGCAAAAUAUUAUUUGAAAAAAUUUGCUUUUUAAACACUAACUUUGAAUAUAUUUGACAUUAGCAAAGCUUUUUUAUUAAAAAAAAUCGAGAAAUAGUCAAUCAAAGUGUUUGGUAAUCAUGAAGAUGUGAAAUAGGUCACCACUAAUGAAAUGAAGUAGGGUUAUCUAGCCGAAAAUCGUGUUGACCAAAAAAACAAAAACAGCUAUUUAGAAUUUUAUUUAUUUUAGAAGUUGAUUUUUUAUUUAAUAAAUAGAUUAGAAUUGAUGUUAAAGUUGGUUUAGAAAAUAAGUUGAGUUGUGUUUAGAUAUUAGUAUUGGAAUAAGUUAUAUGGCUUUUUUAUCUAUUCAAGGACUUGAAAUCCUAAGUUUGUAUUUGAGGAAAAAAAUCAAUUCGUUGAAUAAAUUAUUGAUCCUUUCGAGCCUUCCUUAUUCUUGAUAUUUUGAAAUGUUCUGCCGUUUGAAGCUUUUUCUUCAUUUAUUGUUUGGAUAGAGUAUUAUUUGAAAUAAUUAUUAUAGUAUGUUUUGUGAUUUGAUGUACGUAAGAUAGUUGGGAAUAUAAAAAAGUGAGUUAAAAAAUGUGUUUAUGAUACAAGUAAAAUAUUAUUUGAAAAAAUUUGCUAUCCAAACACUGACUUUGAAAAAAUUUGACAUUAGCAAAGCAUUUUUAUAUAAAAAAAAAAUCAAGAAAUAGUCAAUCAAAGUGUUUGGUAAUCACGAUGAUGUGAAAUAGAUCACCACUAAUGAAAUGAGGUAGGGUUAUCUCGCCGAAAAUUGUGUUGACCAAAAAAAAACAAUUAUUUAGAAUUUCAGUUAUUUUAGAAGUUGAUUUUUUAUUUAAUAAAUAGAUUAGAAUUGGUGUUAAAGUUGGUUUGGAACAUAUAGUUGAGUUGUGUUUAGAUAUUAGUAUUGGAAUAAGUUACAUGGCUUUAUUUAUCUAUUUAAGGACUUGAAAUCCUGACUUGAAAUCCUAAGUUUUUAUUUGAGGAAGAAAAAUCAAUUUGUUGAAUAAAUUAUUGAUCCUUCUGAGCCUUUCUUAUUCUUGAUAUUUUGAUAUGUUCUGCCAUUUGAAGCUUUUGCUUCAUUUAUUGUUUGGAUAGAGUAUUAUUUGAAAUAAUCAAUAUAAUACUUUUUGUGAUGUGAUGUAUGUAAGAUAGUUGAGAAUAUAAAAGAUGAGUUGGAAAAUGUGUUUAUGAUACAAGUAAAAUAUUAUUUAGAAAAAUUUGCUAUCCAAACACUGACUUUGAAAAUAUUUGACAUUAGCAAAGCUUUUUUGAAAAAAAUCCAGAAAUAGUCAAUCAAAGUGUUUGGUAAUCAUGAAAAUGUGAAAUAGGUCACCACUAAUGAAAUGAAGUAGGGUUAUCUAGCCGAAAAUGAUGUUGAUAAAAAAAAAACAGCUAUUUAGAAUUUUAGUUAUUUUAGAAGUUGAUUUUUUAUUUGAUAAUUAGAUUAGAAUUGAUGUUAAAGUUGGCUUAGAAAAUAUACUUGUUUGUGUUUAGAUAUUAGUUUUGGAAUAAGUUACAUGGCUUUAUUUAUCUAUUUAAGGACUUGAAAUCCUAAGUUUGUAUUAGAGGGAAAAAAAAAAUCAAUUCGUUGAAUAAAUUAUUGAUCCUUCCGAGCCUUCCUUAUUCUUGAUAUUUUGAUAUGUUCUGCCGUUUGAAGCUUUUCCUUCAUUUAUUGUGACUAAUCAAAGUCAACCAAAGUCCACGGAACCUUGCAGCACACGAAGGCAUACGUCUAGUUCAUAUUUGGAUGCCUUGUUUCUUGAUAUGAGAAUUAUAAUACUUCCGCUACAUUUUUUUUUUUUUUUUGCGCUAACAAGUGGCACCAAAACCCUUGAUUUAAGAGUUUGAUUCUAAGAUAUUUUUGGAACUUGAAGGGUGUGUAAAAUUUAUGAUAGAAGACCAUGAACCAUAGAAGUGUAUAGAAACUGUGGUAAAGUAUUCGUGUAUUGAAAAAUUGGACCACAAAAGUUUGAUCUUAGGGUACUCGUUCGUUAAUUAAUAAUAAGGAAAAAAAGUUACCUAAUUGAACAAAAAUCUAAAAAGAGGGAAAACUGUUGAAAUUGUUGGUGUUGAUAGUGAGUGAUAAGAAAUUAUUGUGUCGUGUAAUGAUCAAUAAAGAAAGUCCUGCCAACUUGUUAUAGUUGAUUCCACAGUGGAGUUUGAUCGAGACUAAGUCAAGGAAGCCAACAAAUUCAAACAACGAAGCAAAAAAUACUUGUGAAGGUAGGUAAAAUAUUUUGAGUUGCAAUGGAGAGAGAAUUUGUCAAUGGUGAAAAAUUAACAAUUUUGUACACACUGAGUACUAUUGAAGAAAGAUUAGAAUGGGAUGAAAUAAUGAAAAAAUAUCUCAAAAGGUGUUGUUUGGGUAAUAUUCUUGAACUAAAUCUUUUCAAUGGUUUGUCUUAAAGAAGAUAAGAAAAAAAAAAAGACAAAUUUUUUUCCCAGGAUUUUGCAGAAAUCCAUGGUUGAAGAAUGUUAUGCGAGACUCUUAAUUGAUUCUCAAUCACCUUGAAUAUCUUUGGUCAGAUCUCUGCUAUAUUUUGACCGAACUUGAUUAUGAAUUUGUUCAUAAGUCAAACUUGAUUUGACAUGAAAAAUUAAUUAGGAAGAAGAUGUGUUUUUUGAUGAUGAAAAAAGUACUUGUAUAAUUUUUGAUAUAGUUGAAAAUCUUGAUCUGCAUACAUUAUUUGGGAUGAUUGAUGAAGAAGAAAUUGUAAGUGAUUGCAUUAACUUGGUUGUGGAUGAAAAUGUAAUAGAAAUUGCUGGUGAUUAUGGAAUGGAUGAAUCCAUUAGCAAUCAUGGAAUUAGAAAUUAUUUGCGAAAGGAAAGGAGGAAAGGAAUGAAUUAUUGUCAAAAAUUCUGUGGAAGAUUAUUAUGGAUAUGGAGGCACUAAUGGUGAAUGGGUCAACAUGGAUGAAUUUUUGGGUCAAGUUGGAUCAGUAGCCGAAUUGUGUGCAAAGUAGGGCUGCAAACGAGUCGAGUCGAGUCGAGUUUUGAGCUAAUCAAGCCGAGUCUCGACUAAAUUUUAUCAAGCUCGAGCUCGACGAGCCGACAAUUUUCGAGCUCGAGCUCGACUUGAUUCAAGUCGAGCCGAGUUAAAGCUCGAAAAAAAUAAAAAAUAAAUAUAUUUUUUUAAAAAAAUAAAUUAAAUAAUAUGUUUUUUGAAUAAAUAAUAAAAUAUUAAGAAUAUAUACGUAAUUUUACUAUGAAAAUAAAAAAUAAAAAAAUAUAUAUAUAAUAUACGUAAUUUUAUUAUUAAAUAAAAAUAAAAAUAAAAAAAAUAUAUAUAUAUACUCAAGCUCGCGAGCUUAAUAUUCUUAGCUCGAGUUUGACUCGAGCCGGCUCGAGCUCGACUCGAACCCUCGCGAGCAGCUCGAUUCGUUUGCAGCCCUAAUGCAAAGUAUGCCUAACACCCCUUGGUGAAAAUGAAGAUAAAGAUUAAAUUGGAGUUGUACUUGAAUUAUACUAAUAUAGUGGCUGCAAUAACAAUUGAAACUCAUGAUAGCAUUGGAGAAUAAAACAUUAAGAGUUUGGUUUAAAAAAAGUAAUAUUGACAAAAAAAAACAAGCUAAUUAGAAUUUUAAUUAUUUUAGAAGUUGAUUUUUUAUUUGGUAAUUAGAUUAGAAUUGAUAUUAAAGUUGGUUUAAAAAAUACAGUUGAGUUAUGCUUAGGUAUUAGUAUUGGAAUAGGUUAUAUGGGUUUAUUUGUCUAUUUAAGAACUUGAAAUCCUGAGUUUGUAUUUAAGUAAAAAAAAAAUCAAUUCAUUGAAUAAAUCAUUUAUUUUUUUUUUAUAAGAAAACAAACAGAAAAAUUUUAUUCCUGAAAUUGCUGUAAAUCGUCCAACACGAUUUGCUUAACAAAAUUUGGAGGAGCAUUCCAAAGAGAUUUAUAAGGGUUGGCAUUCUUUGCUCGAUUGGCUAAGAUAUGCGCAACCUUGUUUGCCUCAAUUGGAAUCCAUUUGACAUCAAUACAAAGUUGAUCUAGUAAGGCUAAGUAUAUAUCCUCAAGAAUCAGGCCUAAGUCAGACAGGAUGUUUUCCUUAUGAAGAAUGAGUUUAAUAAUUGAAGCUGCAUCUCCCUCCAAAAUAAAGCUUGGGAUCAUUAGAUUUCUUGCCAAGUAGACCACUUCCCUAGCAACAUGGGCUUCCGCUAUUUCUACACUCACCGAACCAACGAAUUUCUUUGCAAGGCCAGCCAUAAAAGAGCCUUCAUGGUCUCGGACCACUACCCCAAUGCCAAAGAUUGUUUGAGCUGUGGAUAUGGCAGCAUCAAAAUUAAUUUUAAAAUGGAGGGAAGGCGGGGCUGACCAUCUCAAUCGAGCAGUCUGGGGUGGAGUCAUAAUAGGACGCGUAUUGGCCUCAUGAAAUUCGCUAAGACUGUGUGCUGCCAAGUUGACUAAGGACAGCGGAUGCCGAAUUUUGCCAUUGAACAAAGCAUAAUUCCUGUUGUUCUAGAGUGUGUAGCACAACAUUGCAAAAUCACAUUCAGCCCCGGUCAGUGAGCGAAUAAUUUCUCUAUACCAAAGCUCAAAACUGGAGUGAUGGCAACUGUGAAUUUUUCGUUCCAGGAAGACAAGUGCCCAAACUUGCACCGCCACCGGGCAGUGGAAGAAAAUGUGGGAUAGGUUGCCACAGCUCCCUUCGCAAACAGCACUAGUGAGAUCCGAUAUGAUUCCGCGCUUCAUGAGAUUAUCGUUUGAUGGUAAAGAGUUGUGACAAGCUCUCCAGACGAGGUGCUUGGCUUUGUUGGGGAUAUUGAGAGCCCAAAUCUUCUCCCAAACCUUGUCAUUAUUAGAACUACUGAACUAGUGCUAGUAAAUCAUUUAUUAUUCUUGAUAUUUUGAUGUGUUCUGUCGUUUGAAGCUUUUGCUUCAUCUAUUGUGACUAAUCAAAGUCUACCAAAGUCCACGGAAGUUUACGAUAUACGUAGCCGGGCGACUAGUUCAUCUUUGGAUGUCUUGUUUCCUGGUAUGAAAAUUAUAAUACUUCCACUGCAUGUUUUUUUUUUGCGCUAACAAAUCAGCCAGAAAAGCUGUAACAUUGACUAGUUAUUUGUAGGAGAAUAUUUGGAAAAAACUUUUAGAAUAACAUUGUAACAUUUUUUGAAUUUGAUGUAUGUAAAAUAAAAAGAUAAUUAAAAAAAAAAUUUAAAAAUUGAAAAUCGUAUUUAUGAUGCAAGUAAAAUUUGUUUUUACAAAUAACAUCAUAACCAUGCAAAGUAUAAUUGUUUCUCUGCGCGUUUUUGCAUUUGCCUCGAUGAUGCAAAUAUUUAUCAUUUGUACCUUUUUUAGGUGGUAAAUUAAUUAAAUUCUGUCUUGAUAAACUUUUAGGGGAUUGCUACAACUCAAUUAUACUUAUUAUGGACAGGACCAAAACAAGAAAUUGUUCAUGAAAUGCUACUGCUUGGAAAUAGUGGGCAGGAUUUGAACUUUGAUCCAUACUUACACCCACUAAAUUUUUUAAUAUCCAAACCCAGACUAACUCAUGGGUUUGAAAAAGAAAAUCCACACCUAAAUCCUCAUAGAUUUUGGUACUCAGAUAUGCACAUGCGAAUAGCUCUUAAUGUGUAAUGAAAAAAUUGAGUUUAGAAACAAUUAAAAAAAACUCUUUAAAAAAAAGAAACUAUUAAAAACUUAUGAAAUUUAAAAAAUAAUAGAAAUACAAUCCAAUUACCAUUUUCAAAUUACAAAUUCAAAGCUCAAGAUUGCUGCAUGCAAUAGUUAUGAAUCCACUUGUAAAAAACGACUUGAAAUCAUGACAUUUUAAAACAAUAAAUACAAACAUGAAAUCCCUGAAAUAAAAAAGGUGGGUCAUCUUUUAGUUUAUUUCUAUCACUUAAGUUGUAUUUAGGUCUAAAUUUGGGUAGGGUCUGGAUCUAUGUCUAAAUUUAGGUAUGGAUUAUACAAAAUUAGAUUUUACCCAAAUCCAUAAUUCUUUUGCAAGGUCUGAAUUUGAGUAAGAUAUAAAUUUCAAUAUGUGGAUCCAAAUUUUGAGAAAAAGACAAUAAAUUUGGGCUUAAUCUAAGUAAUAUCUGACCUAUUGACAUACCUAUUGCCACUGUGUCCUCAUGUACCAUUCUUAAGUUAUGUUGAUCAAAGAAUUCAACAAGUUUUCAUCAAUCAACGUCACUAUACUGUCUGGGGUAUGGAUCAAACCCACGUUUGAAUUGAAAUUAUGAUAGGUUCAUAUCUGAAAGAGGUUGACAAAAAUCAAUGCCUUUUAUUGCAUUACAUCAAAAGCAGAAUGAAAACAUUUGAAAAAGUAUCGUGGUCUCUAAUCCUGACCAAAUUCUAGCUAAUUAGGGAUCUAUUAGCCCCUUAGGGCGCGGUCUAGACGGAACGCGCGCGGCCGUGGCCAAGUUCGGCCAAGCCAUGGCCUAGGUGGGAGGCCGAGGGUGAAGCUUGUUGGAAACGAGUGGACCCAUGUGUGAUGAUGUUUUCCUAGCCUAAGUAUGGGUUGGGGAAAGUUCCAGGGGCAUCAGGUGCCUCUGGGUUAGUUGGGGACAGAGGGGUGCCUCUACUAAUGGUUGGAAGUUUUCCCUUAAGACACCUAUAUAGAGGGAUAACUGUAACUAAGCCAAGUCAAGGCCAAGGGCCGUGGGCCAAGGCCACGGAUUGACUAUGGCUCGGUGGGAUGUUUGGGUGGUUCCAAGGGUUAGGAACCACGGUGCCUAAGAUUGCUAAGUGUUAGGGCAAGAUGGGCACGGAACGUGCGAUGGCGGGAAACGGGGCGCGCGGAAUUGCUGGACGGUUGCUGGUGCGCGCCAAAGAAGAACGUUGGGCAGUUACCAACCGUUGAGGGCGGUUGCUGGGAGUUGUUGGCGGUUACCAGCAACUCAGCCUUGUUCCUAGCCGGUUCCUUAUUUCGUGGACGUUCAGUUAAGACCAGCGGUUGGGUCUUUUGUCAACCAUAACAUGCCUAUAAAUAUUGGGCUAGGCAGAGACUAAAGGGCAGAGAGUCUCAGAUAGUGAGAAUCACCCUUAGAUGUUCUGCACGCCAAGUGUUUGUAGAAAUUCCUUGUAAGCGUUAUAGUGCAAUACAGGGUUGGCCGUGUUGGCUGUAACUUGUGCGUGUGAUCCUUUACUUUGCCUAAGUGUUUUGUGUUCUAAAUACUUGUGGGAAAGUGUGUGUCGCGUAGGCUGACUGGUAGAGGGACUUACCAGUGCCAUCACGUGGUUGGUUUAAUUGAGGGAGUUAAACACCUUCGUGACAGCGUGGUAUCAGAGCACGGCUCUGAUCCAUUUAGACCGUGCUUUUAUUGUGUUUGUUUUGUAGGGAAUGAUGGUUGGACACGGAAACACUGUCCAAGAGCGGUUGCAACGCCAGGAAUCCGCGUUCGAGGACUUGAUGCAGCGUCUGGGAGACGUUCCAGAGGGUUUCAAUGUUAUGGACGCUUUGUUGCAGACCCGAGAAACGAUCAACGCCCUGACCGUGCAGAUGGAGGAAACCCGGGCUAAGGUAUCUUCUGUUGGGGAUGUUGAAUCGUUGAGGAAUGAAGUGGCUUCGUCCCGUGCUGAGAUCACGACUUUGCAGUCGGAGAUCGGUGUGUUGAAGAAGGCGGUUGGCUCUUCCAACACACAGACCGUUCAGAAAUCUUCGAGAGGGAAAGUGAAGGUCCCGGAGCCGAAACCGUAUCAGGGGAGUCGGAGUUCGAAGGAUCUGGAGAACUUCUUGUGGGAUGUCGAACAGUACUUCAAGGCUGUUGACGUUCCAGAGGUAGAGAAGGUGUCCAUUGCAUCCAUGUACCUUAGUGGGGAUGCAAAAUUAUGGUGGAGAACGAUGCAAUCAGACCCCACCAAACCCAAGAUUGAGACUUGGGAUAUGCUGAAGGAGGAAUUGAAGAAGCAAUUCCUUCCCACGAAUGCGUCGUGGAAAGUUCGGGACGCGUUGUGGAACUUGAAGCAGAACAAGAGCGUUCAUGAAUAUGUUGCUGAGUUCCAGGCCCUGAUGUUGGAUGUGAAGGAGAUGUCUGAGGAAGACAGACUCUACACCUUCAUCCGUGGACUGCAGCCGUGGGCGCAGACGGAGUUGCGGAGACAGAAUGUUCAGACCGUGUCUCAAGCACUCGCUGCCACAGAGAAGUUGAUAGACUUCAGGUCCACGGGAUCCAACGACAAGAAGAAAGAGAAGGGCAAGGAUCAGAAAGGUGGACCGUUCGCGAAGAAGAAGAAAAAGAAGCAAUCGGUGGCCACAAAUGAUGCCGGUGGUGCUACUUCUUCUAAGGAAAAGCAGGCACCGAAACCGAAAAAGGAUGGCUGCUUUAAUUGCGGAGGACCACACUUGGCCCGCAAUUGUCCCAACAAAAAGAAGGACCAGAACGUUAGUGCCUUGGUUGCUGAAGAUGAUGGCUACCAGUACGAGACGCAGGACGCACGGGUCAACCCCAUGCAGUUCGUGAAUGCCAUCACAGGUACUAAUGGUCGUUCUACUUGUAAUGGUUUGAUGUAUGUGCAGGUUACGUUGAAUGGUAACCAGAUACUGGCGAUGGUGGAUACGGGAGCAUCGCACAGUUGCGUGACGGAACGUGUGGUUAAGCAGUUCCGGUUGAAGUUGAAGGACUUAGGCUUCAAGUUGAAGGCAGUCAACUCUGAAGCUAAGCCAGUGUUGGGCGUGGCAACGGUGGAAUUGGAGUUGGGGCCGUGGAAGGGAUGGUGUGGCCAGUCAGAUGGAUGACUUUGACUUGAUCCUUGGCAAGGACUUCAUGGUUGCCAAUCGGAUCUAUCCCAUUCCAUACUUGGAUGGCGUCAUGGUGGACGACGACCAGAAUCCAGGCUUUGUUGCUGCGGUAAGGUUGCCGAAACAGAAGGGCAACCUGCGAAAUAACAUGGUGUCGGCUGUACAGAUCGAGUCCAGCCUUAGGCGCGGCGAGGUGAUGUAUAUUGCUACGUUGGUAGAGAUGAAACCCGACAUGUACCAGGAGGUACCCGAUGCCGUGGUUCAUGUAUUGGAGGAGUUUGCAGAUUUGAUGCCUGCAGAGUUGCCAAGACGGCUGCCUCCUAGACGUGCUGUGGAGCACAGAAUUGAGUUGGUGCCAGGAGCACAACCCCCUGCCCAGGCUCCUUAUCGCAUGUCCCCAAUGGAGUUGGCGGAACUGCGACGCCAACUGAACGAGUUGCUAGAAGGCCAGGCGCUGAGGCCGUCGAAGGCUCCGUACGGUGCCCCAGCGCUGUUCCAGAAGAAGGCAGAUGGAACACUUAGAUUUUGCGUGGAUUAUUGUGCCCUGAACAAGAUCACGAUCAGGAACAUGUACCCGAUCCCAAACACCUUCGACUUGUUCGAUAGGCUGGCAAGGGGCCGAUUUUUCACCAAAAUUGACUUGCGGUCGGGAUACUGGCAAGUCCGGAUAGCCCCAGGAGAUGAGAAGAAAACGACGGUGGUGACAAGGUAUGGUUCCUUUGAAUUUCUUGUCAUGCCGUUCGACUUGACGAAUGCACCUGCUACGUUUUGUAGGCUGAUGAACGAUGUCUUGUAUGAAUACCUUGACAAGUUUGUUGUAGUGUAUUUAGAUGACAUUAUUGUGUAUUCGGAGUCCCUAGAAAAGCAUGUAGGGCACUUGAGAGACGUAUUCCGCAAGUUGAGGGAAUACGAGCUCUAUGUAAAGAAGGAAAAGUGUGAGUUCGGCAGGGAGCAAAUCACUUUUCUUGGCCAUGUGGUGAGCAAUGGCCGGAUCCAGAUGGAUUGCAAGAAGGUCGAGGCGAUUCUCGACUGGCCCGCACCCCAGAAGGUCGCUGAACUAAGGUCAUUUCUUGGGUUGGCAAACUAUUACCGGCGCUUUAUCCAGGGAUACUCGAGAAUUGUGGCACCUCUGACCGACCUACUGAAGAAGGACAGACCGUGGAUGUAGGAUUACGAGUGCGAGGAUGCAUUCAGAAGGUUGAAGGAAGCAAUCACUUCCAAACCAGUGUUGCAACUUUCGGAGUUUACAAAGGCCUUCGAAGUGCACACUGAUGCUUCUGACCGUGCAAUUGGAGGAGUGCUGAUGCAAGACAAGCACCCAAUUGCGUUUGAAAGCCGAAAGCUGAAGGAGUGCGAGCAGAGGUAUAGCACGCACGAGAAAGAGAUGACGGCCGUAGUGCAUUGCCUGGAGAUCUGGAAGCACUACUUGUUGGGAACCAAGUUCGUGGUGGUGACCAACAAUGUGGCUAAUACGUACUUCAAAACGCAGAAAAAGCAGACCCCGAAGUAGGCUCGUUGGCAGGAGUUUCUGGCCGAGUUCGACUUUGACUGGUUGCACAAGCCAGGAAAGGAGAAUGCGGUUGCCGACGCGCUUAGCCGAAAGUACGUCGAAGAGUACGUUGCAGCCCUUAGCAUUGUGGAAACGGACUUCCGGGACAAGAUUAAGGCGGGGUCCCCGAACGAUCCGGGGUACCAGACCCUAGUCGCUCAGGUCCGUGAGGGCAAAGUUCGUCGUUAUUGGCUUGAAGACGACUUACUUUUUGCCAAGGGUGGUAGAGCUUAUGUCCCGGCAGGAGGGGGACUUAGGCGACAGUUGCUGCGAGAGACCCACGACACUCCUUGGGCUGGUCAUCCAGGGGUGGAACGAAUGAGGGCCUUGCUGUCGCGGAGCUUCUACUGGCCAAAGAUGGAGGAGGAUAUUGAAGCGUACGUGAGAACAUGUCUUGUGUGCCAACAAGACAAGGUGGGAAGGAAGAAGGAGCCAGGCUUGUUGCAGCCUUUGCCGAUCCCUGAUCGACCAUGGCAAUCGGUCUCAAUGGACUUCAUUUCGGGAUUUCCUAAGGUCGAUGGUAUGGCUUCUGUUUUUGUAAUCGUAGAUCAAUAUUCUAAGUAUGCUAUCUUAUCGGUGCGCCGAAGGCGUGCCCGGCUGAUGUUGCCGCUGAGUUGUUUUUCAGAAAUGUUGUGAAGUACUUCGGUUUACCUGAAGACAUCAUAAGUGAUAGGGAUACCAGAUUCACGGGGAGAUUCUGGACCGUGUUGUUCGGAUUGCUGGGAUCCGAACUUAAGUUCUCUACUGCCGCCCAUCCUCAGAACGACGGACAGACGGAGAGGAUCAAUGCCUUGCUGGAAGAGUACCUAAGGCAUUACGUGACGGCAAGUCAGAAGAAUUGGGUGGAGUUGCUGGAUGCCGCGCAGUUUUGCUACAAUCUGCACAAAUCAUCCGCAACAAAGCUGAGUCCGUUCGAGUUGGUAAACGGGCAACAACCCUUGACUCCGCAUGAAGUUGCCCUUCAAGGCGGGAGUCGUUGCCCAACCGCACACCGGUUUGCUCGUGGCAAGCAGGAACUGGUGAACGAAGCAAGGGAUAGCUUGCUGGUGGUGCAACAACGCAUGAAGAAAUAUGCGGACCAACAUAGACGGGACUUGGAAUUUCCAAGUGGGAGAUCAAGUGAUGCUGAAGUUGACUCCCCAGAUUUGGAAGAAAGUGAGCAGCAAAACCGUCCAUCGUGGGCUCAUCCCGAAGUACGAUGGACCGUUUGAGGUGAUCAAGAAGGUGGAUCGUGUAGCCUAUCGGUUGAGGUUGCCUGACCGACUAAAGAUCCAUCCGACCUUCCAUGUGAGCUUCUUGAAACCCUUCAACCAGGACGAGAUGGAUGAAGGGUGGAGGCAAGCAAAACGUGCCCCGUCAGUGAUCCGCAAGCAAUUCCAGAAGGAGGUGGAAGCUGUGCUGGACCACAGAACGAUGGGGCAGAGCAAAAAGAACAAACGGACAGAUUAUCUGAUCCAAUGGAAGGGCGAAACCGAGUUGGAUGCUACUUGGGAACGGGAUGUAACCUUGUGGCAGUUCGAAGACAAAAUUGCUGAGUAUCUGAGGAACGUGCGGAAGCAAGCCAAGUUGACGAGGGCGUCAACCUCUUCAGGUGGGGGUGGUUUGUUAGCCCCUUAGGACGCGGUCCAGACGGAACGCGCGCAGCCGUGGCCAAGUUCGGCCAAGCUAUGGCCUAGGUGGGAGGCCGAGGGUGAAACUUGUUGGAAACGAGUGGACCCAUGUGUGAUGAUGUUUUCCUAGCCUAAGUAUGGGUUGGGGAAAGUUCCAAGGGCAUCAGGUGCUUCUGGGUUAGUUGGGGACAGAGGGGUGCCUCUACUAACGGUUGGAAGUUUUCCCUUAAGACACCUAUAUAGAGGGAUAACUGUAACUAAGCCAAGUCAAGGCCAAGGGCCGUGGGUCAAGGCCAAGGGCCGUGGGUCAAGGCCAAGGGCCGUGGGCCAAGGCCACGGAUUGACUAUGGCUCGGUGGGAUGUUUGGGUGGUUCCAAGGGUUAGGAACCACGGUGCCUAAGAUUGCUAAGUGUUGGGGCAAGUUGGGCACGGAACGUGCGAUGGCGGGAAACGGGGCGCGCGGAAUUGCUGGACGGUUGCUGGUGCGCGCCAAAGAAGAACGUUGGGCAGUUGCCAACCGUUGAGGGUGGUUGCUGGGAGUUGCUGGCGGUUACCAGCAACUCAGCCUUGUUCCUAGCCGGUUCCUUAUUUCGUGGACAUUCAGUUAAGACCAGCGGUUGGGUCUUUUGUCAACCGUAACAUGCCUAUAAAUAUUGGGUUAGGCAGAGACUAAAGGGCAGAGAGUCUCAGAUAAUGAGAAUCACCCUUAGAUGUUCUGCACGCCAAGUGUUUGUAGAAAUUCCUUGUAAGCGUUAUAGUGCAAUACAGGGUUGGCCAUGUUGGCUGUAACUUGUGCGUGUGAUCCUUUACUUUGCCUAAGUGUUUUGUGUUCUAAAUACUUGUGGGAAAGUGUGUGUCGCGUAGGCUGACUGGUAGAGGGACUUACCAGUGCCAUCACGUGGUUGGUUUAAUUGAGGAAGUUAAACACCUUCGUGACAGGAUCCAUGGCUUUUGCAGUUGUUAAUGACAAUUGCAUCAUACAGUGUAUAACUUGAUAUAAUAAAAGUUAUCACUAAACGAACGAAUGUAAACGCUAAUAAAACGACAUGCAAAAACACAAUAAUUUUUAUCAACCAUUGCAAUUUGUGCCUACUAACUCAAUUCCAACCAUCCAACUUCAUCUCCACCAUGAAAUGUUCGCUGUAGUCACUACCGUGAAUGCAGAGGAUCCAGAUUCCAUUAUGAGGGGCAUCUCAAAAAAUAGUACACUACCUUAGGAAUCCAAUCAAUACGACGGCUUCAAUAUUGAGAACAUCAAUCAAAGAGAAAAAGAAGGGAGAUAGGUGAGGGAACGAGUCGAAAGCCUGCCACAUAUAUUAGUGUCUUGCAUGAUUUAGGCUGCCAAUUCAAUUGGGUAUUUGCGAGUUACAAAAUCAUUAAACUUUUCGAAGUCUUGCUUUACCUAUUAUACUAAUUUUCAUAUGUAGUGACAAACUAAACUAUUAAAAGUGAUUAAUUCAACAAUUUGAUCUAUACUUGUCAAGUCAUAUUUGCAAGGUAGGAUUUUGAAAAAGUUUGGUCCCUUAUAAAGCAGCUUUUUAGAAACAUUUUUAUAAAUUUAAGAAGAAUAUAACAAGCAACUUCUCAUAUUAAUGUUGUGACACUUUGGGUCCAACUCCCCCAUUAAUUGGCUUUGAUAUGCGAGGGUUCGCUGAGGAGAAAUGACAGACCGUGUAGAAAAGAGGAGGAACAGAAGUGCGUGUGGUUUGCUGCUUAAGCCUUAACAAAAGCCCUAUUGUCUUUGGUUUGGUGUUGCUUUUAGAGUGGGAAUUUUGUAAUUGCAACAUGAAUUUUAAUUAAAAUAUGUAAUUGCAACAUGUCUAAGGUUGUGCCUUACUAUAUUCAAAGUAAUAGAGAAGCAAAAAGCUAAAAAAUCAUUAUAGAAACAAAUAGCAAACAUUUUGCACAUAACAGAGCAGGUGCAUGUUGCAUUACUAUUAAUUGUGAAAGGGUCUAUCUAAGGGAUGCCAUGGGUACUUGUUACAAUGUACUUAAAGCGUACGAAUUUUGAAAAGGUAAGAUUAAUUAAGAAAAGUAUAUAAAUAUAAGAAAGGAUAAUAAUUAUUAUUGUAUACAUACAUAUAUAUAUAUAUAUAUAUAUAUGGUAAGUUGGAUGAAAUUUCGGUGUAUUAAUUAGGUACCUAUUAGAAAAACCCGCUGUAAAAUGACAAUUAUGACUCCUGAUUGAACAUUUAUUGUUGGAAUAUGUUUUACAUACCUAACUUCUUUUCAUUUGUUUGGGCUAGUAAACGCUCGAAAUAAAAUGUAAAGUGCCUUUAAGAUUCUUUUCUAUUGUUGAAGUUAGUGUGUAAGUUAAGAAAAUAUCAUGAAUUAGGGAACAUUUUUCUAAUCAGAAAGUAGAGUGAAGGGAAGAAAUAUUAAACAAAUAAGAUAAUAGCCAUUAACUUCGUUCCACAUUGCCUUUGCACCCCUUCAAUUUUUUGAAAGCUACGGAACAACCUAUACAAAGUUUAGAGUUUUUAUAAUUGCCCCACUUUUGCCCCCUUCCCCUGCAUUUUCAAUCUAUUCCAUCUAGUUCUAUCAUUGUCCCUUUGAAACUAUUGAAAUUUUUUACAGUUGUCUUCUCCAUUUCUACAAUGAAAACUUGAAAGAAAGUAUAAUACUAUUUGUAUGUCCUUUCUAAUUAACCUUAUUUGGCUUAAUAUUGAACUCCACUUAUAUGUCUAAGCAUAUAAAUUACAAGCAAAUUGACAAUUCAUCGGAUAGUUUGGUCAAAUACACAUUAGUUAUCUAUUGUAUAUAUGAAUGUACAUAGGCUUGUCAACGGGUCGGGUCCGGGCCGGAAUUCAUUAUUCCAGACCCGGACCCGGCACACUAUAUCGGAUCCGGACCCGACUCGUUUACCCGAUGGGUCUUUACUCUAUGUUCCGGAUCCAGAUCCGACGGGUCCCGGAUCCGGAUCCGGGUCUACCCAAAAAAAAACUAACAAAAUUUAUAAUUUCUAACAAAAAUGAGAAAAAACAUAUAUUUAUAAACUAAUUUCUAACUAAUACAAAAAAAAUCAAAUAAGAAAAGAAAUCAAAUUAACCUUACUCAAAUACAUCAUCCUAAUCAAAUUAUAUUGAUUAGGAUCCGGGUCCAAUUAUAUUGAUUACUCAAAUACAUCAUCCUAAUCAAAUUAUAUUAAUAAAUAUAUAUAUUUUAAAUUAGUAAUCCAUUUAUAUCCGGAUCUGGGUCCAAUACGGGUCGGAAUACUAUAUUUCGUAUCCGACCCGUUUUUUUGUUUGGCAAAAUGGAUCCGGAUCCGGGUCUGGGUAACGGAAUUAAAUCCCUACCCAUACCCAGAUAAAUUUGACGGAUCCGGUCCGGGUCCGGGUCUAGACCCGGACCAUUGACAGCCCUAAAUGUACAUCUCAUAGAUUUAUGCCUAAUAUUAACUAUUGUAUAAUUUUAUACCAUUAGAUGACCUGAUAACUAUUAAAUGCAAAAUAAAUGACAACCUAUACACAAUUCUUAUUUUAUUUUUGCAAUAUUGAAUAAAUUGCUUCACGUCUAUUAGCCUUAUGAGAAACAUUUAGUUGACCUACAAGUUCACAAACCACAAAGUGGUAAAUUUAAUAUAAAUUAUUUUAAGCUAAACCACAAAGUGUUUAGCCACUGCCUCCAGAGGAAGGUUAUUUCAUAAAUAUCUGAAUAGAGGGGAUAAAAUAUAUGUCAAUGUCUGCCAUAAUUAUGUGAAUCCUAGUUUUAUUUAGCAAUGGUUGCCGAUUUUGCAGUAAUUUUUUUUUUUUUUUUGAUCGAAACGAUAGCUUUGCAGUACCAUUCCACACUUUGCAGAAAUCUAAAUAUUGGGUGUUUGAAUAAUGUCAAGCUGAAAGUUAAAAAACCCAUUGGGUAGUCAAAUGUCGAAAUCAGAAGUAUCUUAAAAAAUUCUGGAUCUCUGACAUUAGCCAUUCCACUGUAGAAUGAUGUGCACAUUUGUCAGUCUCUGAUGCUUUACCCUCCCACUUAAAAGUAAGCAAAGUAAACAUUCAUCUAUGCAAGCAUAGCUCAAAAUUCCAUAGCAGAAUAAAAUUCUUAUAUCAGUUCCUACACUACAAAGAUGAAGAAGACAAAGCUUGUUUUUGUUCCAUCACCAGGCAUAAGCCACCUAAUAUCCACAGUUGAGCUCUCCAAGCGCUUAACUGAAAGAGAUGAUCAGCUAUCAAUAUUUGUUCUGGUCAUAAGCUCGCCUGUUGGCCCAGACUCGGAGUCCUACACUCAAGAAGUGGCUGCUUCAAACACUAGUAUUCAAUUCAUCAACAUUCCUAAAGCAGAUCCCAAUCUACCAGAGGCCUUGAGCUCCCCAGAAAAUUUUUAUGCUCUCUAUUUGGAAAGCCAUAGAUCCCAUGUCAAAACAGCAAUAAUUGGUCAAGUACUAGUAUCAGAAUCCAUCACUUCUCUUGCCGGGAUGGUUGUUGAUCUAUUCUGUAGUUCGAUGGUUGAUGUAGCGAAUGAGCUUGGCGUUCCUUCAUAUGUGUUCUUCACCUCUGGCUCUGCCUAUCUUGGCUUCUUGUUUUAUCUUCCAAUUCACUAUAGCCAAAAUGGAAGAGAGUUCGAGACUUCAGAUUCUGAUUCAAUUAUUCCAACUUAUUCUCACCCUGUACCGUCAAAGGUUAUACCUUCUUUAGCAUUUAACAAGCAUGGUGGUUAUUCCUCAUUCAUAAAACAUGCUACCAAGUUCAAGGAGACAAAAGGAAUCAUCAUAAACACGUUUGCAGAAUUAGAACCUCAUGCUGUGGAUCGAUUGAAAUUCGAUGCUGAAACACCGCCAAUCUACACAGUUGGACCCCUGCUCGACCUGGAGGGCAGAAAGCGAGAGCCUGAUCACGAAACAAUAAUGAAAUGGUUAGAUGAUCAGCCUCCAUCAUCAGUUGUAUUUCUCUGUUUUGGAAGCAUGGGUAGUUUUGAGCCUGACCAGUUAGCAGAGAUGGCACUUGCACUCGAGCGGAGUGGAUACAGAUUCUUGUUGUCAGUCCGGUUAUCAAAGGUCUUUACAAAAGGGACAGGUGAACAUU